UUUUUUUUUUUUUUUUUUGUUAUUCGGUUGAUAAUACUUCCCAUCACCCAUUAAUUUCAUUAUAGAAGCUUUUCAAUCUUAACUUAAAAGUCAUCUCUCGCUUGGAUUGCUAUUUUCUAAAGUUCUUAUAGAAAAAUAUACUGUGACAACAUAAGAGCAUUUUGGAAUCAAAAGCCUUGUGUACAUAUUAGAAUUGUAUUCUAAAUUUCCUUCACUUGCACGAGGGUUUUAAAUUGUGAAGUUGAUUUUGUGGGCACAAAUUAAGUUAGAAAUUUGGAAGUCAAUAGCUUCCUCACAGGAUUUAACAUUUCAAGAAAGAAGUGUCAAGUGACACAAGUUUUCUAUUGUGUUAAAUACAUAUUUAAGUAUUAUUUACUAUAGAAUUUAGAUAAAUAUUUGAUUUGGUAUAAAGCCAUUUAGUGAUCUGCUGAGAUUUACAUCUUGUUGAGUGGCAAACAAUCUAAAAUAACAACACAUUAAUCAACAAACCAGGAAAUAGAGAGAUGAAGGAGAAAUCCUAUGGUGGAUAUAUAGUACUUGUAAGGCUUGUGCAUGAUACUUGUAUGGAAUAAUAAAAGAGUAAAUCUUUCCUACACUGACGGUGUAUAUACUAUCAUCGUUGGAUUCAUGACAUGUGUGCAAAAGUUGAAUUUCAAAUUCAAAUUUUGCAUAGAUGUCAUUCAUCCAACGCUGAUAGUGUAUACACUGUCAGUGUAGGAAAGAUUAAUCCAUAAUUAAAAAGGCUAAAUCAACAGCUAGUUAACAUAGGUGGUGAUAUAAAAUUGUGAGGAGAUAAAUGCAAUUUUAGAAACUAUAAGGGGGUCCUUGUAGAAGAUGAUUUAGAUGGAUGAUUAAUGUAAGCCUUUGAAUUCAUCUUAUUUAGUUAGGUCUUGGUGUGGUUAAAGUUGUUGUGGCUCCUUAUCAAAAUCAUUCAUCUUAUUGUUUGUGAUGUUUGUUUGUGAAUUGUGAUAAUAUCUUAACAACAAUAUGCCGUGCAUCACAAUAAUUUGGAUAUCAAAAAAGUCGCAAAAGAGUUUUUUGGGCAGACAAUAAUCACGUUAAUCAGGCCAGCCCAAUUUAUUGGGCCAUGAGAGACCAACCCAAGACUAGUAUCCAAGUCAAACUUUGAUUGGCAAAAAAUGGAAUUAUGAUGAAGCAGCUUUCUUGGUGGGACCAAAUGCCAAGGCCAAGAGACAAACCCUUCACAAGUGGUAAGAGAUAAGAUUGAGGGGUUUAUAAUACAUUUUUAGCAGAAAUAAUGUGAGACCGGUCACUUUACAAAAUGCCAAUCAAUUAAAUAUAGUGAUGCAACUGCGUCUCUAAUUUCAUAUCAUACAAUACACAUCCCAAACUCUUCCACCGCCCCUUUCUUCAAGUUGAAAGGUGGGGAUCACAUAGCUUUCAACAAAUGGGGAGAAAGUACAAGUCAUGAAACACAAGUUGCAUUAGACACUCCUAGAAAGCAAACUUGUCUUUACUUCAACCAAUAAUUUCAUAGAUAGUAGAUGCAUAUUCUGUGAGAACUCCACCGCUGAUGUUACAGUUGUGUUGAUAGGCGAUUUGUAAAUAUCUCUGUAAGUGAUCUAUAAUUCUAGAAAUAUGCCCUAAUUUAUGAUGAUGAUUGAAACUGAAUCCAAUCAAACUUUUCGUACCAAAAUAAAAAUACAUAUUCUCUUCCAAUAAGAGUUCGUUAUUAUUGGCCAAUUUUUUUGAUUGUUUUUUAAUGUCGAUGUUGUUUUUUUUGUCAUUUUACCUUUUCGAUUGAGACCUACAUUGGAUAAGGACUAAGACUUUCGUCUAAUUUGUUCACCCUUAUUCUCCACAAUUGAGGAAUAAUAGUGAUUUGGAUCUCCAACUCGUGAAUUUUUAAUUGAAGUUAAGAGCUGAGAAAAGUAUCAGCACUUUCCAUGCUACAAUUCUUUGUUUUUUUUUUUUUUAGGAGCAAACCCAUUAAUUUUAUCAAUGUAUCAGAAAAGUUUAUACAAAGACAUGGGGUCUAAAGUGGACUAUAACAAGAGAAAACACAUAUAAAUAGAGGCCUAACACUAGCACCGUAGAGAGUUACUCUUAUCUAUAUUCCCUGAAAUUUAAUCUCUCAGUUUUGUCUGCUUAAUUUUAGUGUCUUGUAGUAUCAAGAAUAAGAUUAUGAAAUCUAAGGAAUUAUGUAUGAUUUACUCAAGUAUAACAUUCCUCCCAUUAUAUGUCGAUUAUCAUUCCCCCCCAAAUUGUGCAGGAUAAUUACAAUGCUGAUUUUAUGGUUCCUCAGAUGUUAUCACCCUGUUUGUAUGAACCCUAAUUAAAUGUAAUCUUGUAAUUUUAUAAUCACAAAGUGUAAAGUACAUGUGCGUUUUAUGGAUGACACUAAGUGAAAUUAGGUAUCAAUUACACUCAAUGAGAUAAGAUGCUGAAACCAGAGUUGGUUCUAAUCAAUAAUAUGUAACAUUGCCUGAAUCAGUCUCAUAUCUUGGUUUGAUCUUAUGUCGGAUACUUGUCUGAAUCUUAUGAUUUCGACCUAUAUCGAACUCGUUCAUAUGUCAAUCCAACACCUAAUGCUAUUAUGCCAUUCCUCUUUCUGCAGAAAGUAGGCGUCUGUACCCGAUUUUGAGCCUUAGAGUAUCAGGUUUAACAAACGAUCAAGUGAUGAAAAUAGGGUUAGAUUGAAUCGGGUACCUUACCAAAUCUUGUUCUUGUCUCGUGUAAAGGAUUUAGAACAUGAGAUUAUAUGUAUUACAGAUAAAUGAUAAAACCUUGGAAAGGCAAUGGGCUUGGGAUGUGUAACAGAAUAAAAAAGCUAGAAAAAAGUUGUCCUAGUCGAACAAAUUGGUGGGAACACAUCUACACUUGCGGGUUCAAUGAAUCUCUCAUAAUGUUCUCGACCAAAAUAGAGAAGCAUGAACAUGUGCCAUGAGUAUCUCAUUCUCUUCCUCAAUACAAGGGGAAAAAAAAGGCAACUGAAAGUAUCUCUUGGCUCUAUGUGAUAUAUAGUAUAUGAUAAUCAUAAGGGAAGAGAUGAGUUGGAUAGUUCGGAAGAAAAGAGUGUAAGUGAAAAUCUCGAAUUUGAGGCGUUUCACUUUUGCUAGUAUAAAAAAAUGAUAAUCAGGUGUCAAUUUGAACUUGGUAGAACGGCCAAAGAUUCAGUCCAAUUUGAAGGCGACUGGUUGCGAUAUAGGAAGUCACGGGCAGAGGAAAAACGCCAUUCUAGACCCCCAUUUGUGGGAGCAAAACUUGGCUCACGAAAAUCCCUUUUUUUUUUUUUUUUUUAAAGUCUGUACCCAGCAGUAUUUCAAAAAAUCCGCAUUUUAAAUAGUAGCAAAGCAAUAUAUGCGAUUACAAAAUGCUAAUCAGUGUGUCAUUUUUAGUGUAAAAGGUAGAAUUUUGUUGGGAACGAUUUGAACUAGAUUGUAAGGUAGGAGGAAUUGUAAUUAGAAGGUUGUGGAUCCAAGAUCUUCCAUUUAUCAUAAGAAAAAAAGGUGGAAUUUUGACUCUAACCAUCAGAUUUGGUAAGCCAACUGUAAUAGUGAACAUUUAUAGGACCACAAUAAUCCAAAUUAAGUUGUCGAAUUUUCCACGAAAGGAUUGUAGAAGACUCAAAACCAACGCAGGUCCAGGCACGUCUUGACACUAUAUAUAUUUCUCAUGCCUAGACUUUAAUCAUUAAAGCGGGAUUGAAAACUGAAAAGUUACGUUACCUCGCAAUUCCACCACAACCCCAUAAUUCAUCAAAAGGGAAAAUGACAAAACAAUCAACAGACAGAAAAUGAGCCAUUGACGAGACUAAUUAAAGUUGGAGAAAAAUUGGGGUUGAAGCAUAUAGAAAAAGGAAUUUGAGUUCUUCAAGUCAUCUUGUGUCGGCCCUGAGAUUGUUCUAACAUUUUGUUAUGAGCUGGCAAGAUGGAGUGAAGGUCAGAAAGAUUUUACCAGUUCAACUGGCACAGGACCUUCGGUCCAGCAAUCCCUAUUGGACCAUGUCCAAAAGUCAACUAGUUUCACUCACUCGAAGGGAGUGAGUGAAUAAUUGUUAACAAGCAACUCCAACCUAAUCCACAUUUGACUUAAAAGUUUCAUAAAUGCAAGUCCAUUACUGCACAGUACAUUCACGAUUCUUAUAUCUAAUUGCUUAUUGUUUAAGAGAGAGAGAGAGCGAGAGAGAGAGAGAUGGUGGAAUCCUUAUCCAUUUGUAUCUAACAAGUUCUAAUUAAUGCACCAGGACCUAAGAAAUAGAAUUGGUAACACAAGUCAGUUCAAUUGAUAAGAACGAAUCACUUCUUUAUAAAAAAGAUUGUGUGUUCAAAUUUCACUCUUGAUGUGAAAAUUGUGUUCGUAAACGAUCUGUAAGAACCUCUUUAAAUGACCUAUAAUUUUAGAAGCUUGUUCUGAUCCGUGGUGGUGACUGGAGUCGAACCCAGCCAAACUUUUUUUGUGCAAAAAAAAAAAAACUAAGAGAUAGGAUUGUACGUUUGGUGUCAGACCAUUUUCUGCUCAUUUUCCGGUGUUCAAAAUGAAAAACAUGUUGGCUGACAUUGGCCUGAAAUCCUAUCCCACAUCGAAAGAUCGUGGGGUCUUUACUCUGGAUUUAAGGUCCACAGAAACCCUGUUCAGUUACCAAUUAGCUGAAUAGUGGUUCUUUGUGGGUCCCCCUUGGAUUGUUUUCGGGCCGUUCUUCGAUUAACUCUUGCGUUUGUUUAAAUUAGGUGGGUGUGUGUGUGUGGGUUAUUUAUCGGUUUCGAUAAAAGAAAAAAAAAAGACAUUGGCCUGAAAAGCAUUUUGGUGCCCAAUAAUAGAUCAAGAUUGAUUCCUCUAGAGAUAUUCCAAAUUAGCUUUACUACUUAGGGCUAUAAAAUAAGAUGAGACGCUUAUAAGAAUGCUAGCGUUGGCCUGAAAGGCAUCUUAAAGCUUUUGAAAAAGAAUGCUAGCCAUUUGUCUAUAGAGUGGCCCGGCAUUGGCCUGAAAGGCAUCUUAAAGCAGUUGAAAAAGAUUUGUGCCCACAAAUUUGUUUUUGGUAGACUUGUGGAUUUGUGCCCACAAAUUUUUCGAUCCUUUGGCUGCAAAUUUUGUAUAUUUUACUCUUUUUUUUCAACAAACAAAUUUUGAAUAUUUUACUACUUAAGAGCUAUUGCAACACAAUUGAAAAUCUGAACAAUGACGAAUUGCAAGUGUAGCUGCAGUGAAUGCACAACCUCUGACUUGAGGCUGCUUACCAAGUUUCCAAGUCAAAAUUGGGGAAGUCAGUUUUGACUAAAUGACUAGAAGUCAACACAACCUUUUAACAAAAGUCAAAGUCCUAAUUCCUAACUAGCCUUAACUUAAGAGAAGGGAAGUCUUGAGUCGAAGGUUGAUCAUCUCUUAUCUUACCAUCAGUUUUCCUUUGCCAUUAGCUGAAGGUUCAUCUUAUAAAUUAGCUUUCUAGCAGCAAAAAGGGGAAAUAAAAAUAAGGGUAAUGGACAAAAAGAUAAAGAGAACAAAUGAAAAUGAUGGCCUCGUUUGGCAAGUGAGUUUUUUAGAUAUUUGUCUAAAACUAAACUAUAAUUUACUGUAGGAGUUUUUUAAAAAAUUUUUGAAGUGUGUAAAUUUUUGAAUAUUUUGAAGUGUAUAGUUUAAAAAUUUUGAAAAUUUUUUUGAGGUUAUUGUAAUUAAAAUUUUUAAAAAACUUAUAGCAGAUAAACUUGGUAAAAAACUUGCCUGCCAAACAAGGCGGAUAACUCACAGUUUAUGAUCAUUCAAGUUUUUGAUCUAUUCUUGAUCUUAAAUUGCGGACAGAAGUCAGCAAUUUUUGGCCAAUCAUGCAAACCAAUGACAAGUAUCUUGAUUCUGCCUUAGGGAGAACCCUAAAUUAUUUUGUUUAAUUUAGAAAUGUACUUCUAAAUAUAGGCCACAAGAGGGUGUAACACUUUUUUGGGACAGAUAAGAAGGCUAAAAGGCUCACCUCAUUUGGUCGGAUACUAUUGUUUUUGGACUUAAAAGUUAAAGAUAGGAUACAGUGAUUUUCAGCACUUUGCUGGUAAUUGUACUUCAAAAACCAACUUGAUCUUGUUUGUUUUGUGACUUAGGAAUGUUAGGAAAGUUAAGUGACAUAUAAUGCCAAAAUGUGAUUCAAAUGAAAUUGGUGCUCCAAAAUUCAGCUCAUGUCUGCAUUCAAGUUUUCUGGGGAUUCCUUCUUGGCUGUUCUUUUCUUGGAUUAUCUUGACGAUUUCUGUCUUAAUUAUCACAUCCGUGUCUAGUAUUUUUCAAACAAAGUACAAAUGGUUUUAACAUUAAUCGAGUAAAAUUUUCUCCUCAAAACAAAGCCAAAAAAAAAAUAUUUCCUGUUGCUAUUUUGCAAUAAAUUCCCUUGGAUAAGAGAGAUUCAAGAAUUAAGCACUGCAUUCUUUUCUAGUUGGCAUAUUUAUGUGAACAUUUUUGUACUGUCACUCUGUAAUUCUAUCAGUAUCCAGAUCAGGAGGCAAUUAACUAUUCAAAAAGUACUCACAAAUUACAACAAUCUUGCUCAUUAUACAUCAGAUUUGUAUUCCUAGCCAGCAGAUCUCAACUCUACAAGGCCAUAAACUUUGAUUGGGCCAUUAGCAGAAAAACUACUCCAGUACCUAAGCGUUUUAUGAGAUUCACUUCGUCCAGCCCACAACAAAAUCGAUCAUGCGUGGGCUGUUCGGGCUGCUUUAGUCUUGGUCAACAACCUUACAAAACCUUCGGAUAAUUCAAUUCUUGCUUCCUACAUUUUUUUUUUUUUGAGAAAUAUGCUUCGAUGUCAAAGCAUCAAUCUGCUGCGUUUAGGGCUGUAAACGAAUCGAAUCGAACUUUUCAUAAUUUGAGUUUGAUUCAAAAUUUUGGACUUGAUUUUGAAUUCGAACUUGAAUUCUAUAUGAGUUUAAAGUCUAAACCCGAACGCAAUUUGAUCUAAUAUUCGAUGGGUUUGAUCUUGAUUCGAGAGCCCAAAAUUUUAUUAAUUCUUCAAUUUUAAUAUUAAACGAACACUAAUUCAUUUAUAGUAUAUGUAUAAUAAAAUAAUAAACAUAUAAUUUUAUAUAAAAUAUUAACAAGUAAUUUAAACAAAAAAUAUUAAAAGUUUUUCAAAUCAAAUUGAGCCUUAACAAGAUGAAUAUUUACAAGUUCGAGCUCGAUUCAAUACUAUAAAUGAAUCAUAAUUCCUAUUCGAAUCUGAACUCGAGUUCGUUAAAAAUCAAGUUUGAUUUUUAACGAAGUUCUUAACGAAUCCAGUUCGAAUUGUUCGUUAAAGUUUGAAUUCGUUUACAGCUCUACUGCUGUAUUCAUUAAGUUACCGUUUUAAGUGUCCUUAUUUCCAUCAGUAAAUUCAUAGGUAGGUACAUAUUCUAUCCCAACAGAGUUCAUUGUUAUUAGCCAAACCUCGUCGUUAUUAUCAAUGUUGUUUUUUUGUCAUUUUACCAUUUAGGUAUAAUAAUGAUUUGGAUUUCCAACUUGAUUUCCUUCUGUUCCGAGUAUUUCUAAUUGAAAACCAGUCAUUGCUGAAUGACUGGAUAUCAUUUAGAACGUAAAUCACCACCAUUGCUGAAUGAUGUGGCAAUCAGUCAUUGGAUAUAAAUUGAGAGAACUAUUCCCUGAAAAAAUUUAGAAAUUUUCCAUUCCAUCAAGUUCAAAUACAAUUAUGAAGGGAGAAUCUGAAUUUACAUCCUUCCCGUGACUAUAAUUUCAACGCCUUUCAUGCAUUAAUUCCUUAUAUAUACACACACAUAUAUAUAUAUUGGAGCAAACUUAUUCAUUUUAUCAACAAUAUCAAAAAAGUGUACACAAAGUGAGUAUCUCAAGCGGGCCAUAACAAGAGAAAGCACAUGUAGAAAGUGGUCUAAUCCUUACGCACCAUAGAGUUACUCUUACCUACAUUCCAUGCAAUUUUGAUCUCUCAUUUUUGUCUGCUUAUUUUUAGUGCCUUGUGGUGACAAGAAUAAGAUCUUAGAACCUGUGGAAUCAUAUUGGACCACUCUCAAUGAAAUAAUUAGAUGUCGAAACCAGAAAUGGUUCUCUUUAAUCAUCUAAAAAGUUCUACAACAAGUAGUAAAUACAACAAUUUUAUGAUUUGGGCAGCUUGAAAUUGUCUGUUCCGUCUGUCCCGUUCCUAUUUAACUGUCACAUGUGUUGAUUAAUAAUUCUUAUGAUACUAUUGUGGAUAAAUCCAGUAAUAAAUAACUCUUAGAACUCUAUUGGGAAUAAAUCCAAUAGUACAAUAGCAUUUAAAUAAAGAUGGGAUAGAAACAAAAUUCAGAGCAGAUGAUUUGAAACGGAUUUGGACCUAUAUUGAGCUCUUUCAUCUGUCAAAGGAACACCUAAUGCUAUAAUAGCAUACUCCUCUUUUUGCAGAAAGAACUUUCUGUAAUGGUGUGUGUCUCCGAUUCUAGGCCUUAGGUAUCCGGUUUAAAAUAGACGAUCUAGUGAUAAAAAAGGCUGUAGAUUGAAUAGGGUGCCUUACCAAAUCUUAUCUCGUGUAAAGGAUUUAGAAUAUGAUGAUAUAGUACAUAAUAUGUAUCACUUGUAAAAGCUCGGAAAGGCAAUGGGAUUGAGAUGUUUAUCAGAAUAAAAUCUUGAAAAAAGUUGUCCUAGUGUAACAACUUGGUGGGAACAUAUCUACUUUUAUGGAUAAUGGGCUCAAUGAAUCUCCCAUAUUGUUCUAAACCAAAAUAGAAGAGCAUGAGAAUCUAAUUCUCCCUCUCAAUACAAUGCAAGGAAAAAGUAGUUAGAAAUUAAAUAUCUAUUGGCCCUGUGUGAAAUAGUGUAUAAAACUGCCAAAGACUCAGUCCAAUCUAAAGGCGACUGAUACAAUGCAAUAUGGGAAGCUAUGGGCAGAGAAGAAAACAUCCUAGAGAAGAACCCUUAAUGUGGGAGCAGAACUUUGGUCAUCACAUCCUGUUUUUUGUAUGUACCCUGAAGCAUUUCAGGUCAGCAAAAUUUUAAGAGGGCGACAAAGCAAAAUAUAUGCGAUUGCACUGCUAAUUAAUGUGACAGUUUUAGUGCAGGAGGUAGGAGGUGAGACGGAGGAUCGGAUUGAGUGGUAAGAUAGAAUGGAUUAUAGGUACUGAAUUCUACAUUUCCCACUUACCAAAGAAAAAAAAAGUAAAAGUUUUAGUGACUCAAACAUUAGUUUUUUUAAAAUUAUUUUUACAAUGGAGAGAUUAUGCAUAUGGUACCUUAAAAAAUUGAUUUACACCUGGAUUUCUUUUUAUUUUGGGGCCAUUAAUUAAAAGAGCAAUUACCAACUAAUCAGAUUUGGGAAGGCAACUGCAAUAGUGAACAUUAACAUCUAUAGGACCAUAACAAUCUAUUAAGUGGUCGAAUUUUCCACAAAAAGUAUUGUCAAUACCUACGCAGGUCCAGUCUUUUCUUGACUUUGAAUAUUUCUCCUACGUAGACUUUGCUCGGUCAAGUGGGAUUGAAAACUUAACAUUCCCCAGCUCCCUUCCACCACAGCCCCAUACAUGCAUUAAUCAAAAAGCCAAGUGGCAAAACAACCAACAGACAAAAAAUGAGCCAUUAAAGAGACUAAAUUAAAGCUGGAGAAAAAAUGGGGUUGAAGCAUACAGAAAUGGGAGUUGAAUUCUUCAAGUCUUUGUUUGUUAGUUAUCCUUAUUGGACCCCGUCCAGAAGUCAACUAUUUUCACUUCCUUCACUUCAAGGGAGUGAAUGAAUAAUUGUUAAUAAGCAACUCCCAACCUAAUCAACAUUGUUGCAUACUUUUAAGAUUUUUAUAUCUAAUCAUGUAUUGUUCUCAAACAAAACAAAGAUCAACCGUGGAAUCCAUAUCCAUUUCUACCUGUCAAGUUCAAACAAUGCACAAGAGAUUGGGUUGUAACUGUUAGAAGUCAACACAACUUUUUAACAAAAGAUGUCAUAGUCCUAAGCCCUAACCAGCCUUAAAAGCAGGGAAGUCUUGAGUCAAAAGUUGAUCAUCUUUCUCACUGUCACUUUGUGUUUGCCAUUAGCUGAAUGAAGGAGAGGAGGGUUCAUCUUAUAAAGUAGCUUUCUAGCAGUUAAAAGAAAAAAAAAUACAGGUAAUUAAUGGGCAAGACAUGCAGAGAACAAACUGACUAAAAAUGCUCAGAUAGGAGGUAGUCUUGGAAACUACCUUAAUUUUCGCCUUUCUGGAGAACCCUGAAUUAUUUCGAUCAGUUUUAGCUUAAUUCAGAAAGUACUUUAGAAUGUAGGCCACAAAUGGGUACAAUACUUUUUGGGACAAUUAAGGACACCGAAAGCUCAUCUCUUUUGGUCGGAUAUUCUUUGUAUUUAUAGAUGGGAUAUUGUCAUGCAGGCUUGUUCUCGAUUGAUUAUUUUAAUUGAUUAUAGAUUUUGAUUUUUGGAUAAUAGUUUUGUGAUGCUCUCGAUUACUUUUGUAUUUUGAUUAUAGAUUUCUUAAUGAUAAAAAAAAAAGUUAAAAUCUAUAAUCAUUUGAAGAGUACCUUUUACUGAUUCUAAUUAUUCUUUAUAAUCAGAUUUUUGUAAAAUCUAAAGCAACCGAGAAUUAGGCCGUAGUUUUCCAACAAUUUACAGGCAUUUCUACUUCAAAACCAACUUGAUCUUGUCUGUUUUAUAUGUGACUUAGGUAACUAAUUAGUAAACUUAGGUGGCUUUGACCGGCUAUAGUAGCACUUGUCUUUGCAUAUAAUGCCAAGCAUUCUCAUCCAAAAAAUUAUUCAAUUCAAUUGGUGCCCCAAAAUUCAGCUCUUCUCUGAAUUCUAGUGUUUUGUGGGUUUCUUCUUGGCUUGUUCUCUCUUGGAUUAUGUUGGCCAUUUCUGUCUCAACUCUUAAUUAUCACAUCCGUGUCUAAUAUUGUGAGCAAAAUACAAAUGGUUUAGUAUUAACCAAGUCACAUUUUCUCCUCAAAAAAAGCCCAAAAAAAAAUCUCUGUUGCUAUUUUGCAAAAUUUCCGUGGACAAUAGGGACUUGAGAUGUAACCACUUUUUUUUUUGGCAACACAGAGGAUAUCCCAGCAUUUUUGCUGGACUAAUCUCUUACGGCUAUACAGAGCCCGCCCAAGAAUGCACAGCAAUGUUAGUAUGGUAGGAUUCGAACUGGUGACUUACGGGAUACUACAGCAUAUGGUCACCAACUGAGCUCCCUGCAGGGGCAGAGAGGUAACCACUUGGAUCCUUUUCUAGUUUUAUGUGAACAUUUUUAUACUCUUGGCAUUCUGAAAUGCUAUCAGAGUAUCCAGACUACAAGGCGAUUCACAAAUGAAAAAUUGCUCACACCUAUCUUGCUACUUGGACCUCGUAUUUGUCUUCCUCGGCCUGCAGAUCUUGACUCUCCAGGUUAUUAAUUUUCACUGGGCCUUACCCUGAAAACAAUCCCCCGUUGCUGAACCCUUUUGGGAGAUUCAUUUUCCCUGGCCCAGAACAAAAGCAAUGAUGUGUGGGCUGCAUCAUUCUGGUCAAUAACGUUUCACUAGGGUCGUAAUGGGCCAAGCUUUGGUCGAGGUAAAGGAAAAAAAAAAUCAAUUCGAUGUACCCACUAAGGAUUUGUUCUUGGUUAAUUAUUUGAAUUGGUCAUAAAUUAUAACUUUUAAUAAUACAAUUUUUUGUUCUCGUUGCUAUUAUAUAUGGAUUAUAGAUUUUUUUUAACAAUAAAAAAAUUAAAAUUCACAAUCUACUAAAAAGUAACUUUUGUUAAUAUUAAUUAUUCUAGUUACUUACUUAUCAGAUUUUAUAAAAUCUAAAAUAAUCGACAACAAGGCCACAGUUAACUAGGGCGUCAAUGACUAGUGUGGGGAAGAUGUAUUCAAAAUUCAGAGGAAGAUACUUCACAAUUUUUUUUGUUAGAGUAGAUGGCCAAAAAGGUCACUAAAUAUUAAGUAUGACACAGAUUAGCUACCGAUUUUUUUUUUUUUUUGUGGCCACAAAGAUCACAGCAAAAACGGGCCAGGGAAAUCAUUUUGUCAAAUUCUACCAUUAAAACUAUUGGCUGCCGAAUAUAAUUUGGCAAAAAAAAAUUGUUAAAUUUCAAUAAUUUACCAAUCGUCUUAUGACAGAAUUUGACAAAAUGAUUUCGGUGGCCACUUUUUGCCAAUUUAAUGACGUUUGUGGUCAAGCAAAAAAGUUUGACGACUAAUCUGUAUCAUCUUUAAUAGUUUAGUGACAUUUUCCACCUUUCCCUCUUUUUGUUACAAAGCUAAGUGCAGAUUUUGUUACUGUUGACAUUUUCCCAGAGGUCCUUAGCAGUUUGAGGUACACAAUUCGAGGUAUUUAUGACUGGUUAGUAGCAAAACUUUGAAUCAUUACCUAGCAGGAGAAAUAAACCAUCAGCCCAUCCUUUACGGUAAUCAAGAAACUAAUUCAUCUCUUCAUUCACAUCAUCUCAUCUUUCACACCAAUCAAGAAACUAAUUCAUCUCUUCAUUGAACCCAUCUCAUCUUUUACACUAAUCAAGAAACUUAAUUCAUCUCUGCAUUACCCUCCCAACAAUUUCAAGGGUUUACCAAUUUAUUUCUAUAUAAACAAACUGCCCUUGCAGCUCGAGAAUAUGAGACAGAAAGUUCAGGGUAGCAAAACAAAAAUGAAAGGAUCAGAGAUCAUCAAGUCAGUUGCUUCUGCAGCAGGUUUAGGUCUAGUUGCAUGGGGCAUUUCUCAACUUUUGGAAAUCUGGGGCGUUACAAAAAUUUUUGGAUUCGCAUUACCAUGGAUAAGCAGGAAACUGAUGAAAGCACCAGGAGGCAACUACUACAUCUUCAGGGAUGUCUUCGAGCGUGACCCUGCUGGCUAUUUCCGUGGCCUUCGCAAUUUGAAAAAUUAGUUAUAUCUGUCUUCAGGAAAACUGAUGAAUAUUACUGGUUUCUUAGCGGCUAAUGAUUGAUAUAUCUGUCUUUGCGGGUAAUUAGUUGAAUCUCCUACUGAAGUUGUAAUGCAUUAGUAAAAUUCCCUUAUCCCUGAUCUGAUAUUCAUAAAUUAUCGAUGGAUUAAUUGGGAUGCUAAUGGCAUGAAUAUGUCCAAUGUUGAAUAACAUUCUCGAAUUCUCAACUUCUAAAAUGUAGUGGCAUCGAUCAUUUACUUGUAGCCAAGAGGAAAAACCAAAACAAGAAGCAGCUUGCAUUCGAAGAAUGUAGUGGCCUUUACAAGUGCCUAAAGGAAAUAGGAAUUGCUAAUUCAUACAAGCGAGUGAUUUUAUUACAUAACCAUAAAUUAUUCAACUACAAAUGAUAAGGCUUGAUGGGCAUCACCACGCCUAGAAUUAUCUCACUGUAAUAGCCUCUAAGCCCUCCAAGAAAGAGGUACCCACCAAUAAUAGUGUCUGGAUUUUUACCUUUGGAGGGACCCUAAAUUAUUGCCGGUUUAGAAAAGUACUUUUGAAUACACAAAAUGGUGUACUUUUUUUUGGGGGGGGAUAAAGUGAAUUUCAUCAAUUUGCAAGAAGUUAUACUACAAAAGUAAAGAAACCAACUUGAUCUUGUUUCUAUUGUGAUUUAGGAAAGUUAAAUGGGCUAUCAAUUGAUAUAGUGGUACAUGUAGGUUACAAGAGCUCGGGUAUGGGAAACAUUCUCAUCCAAAAUAUGACUCAAAUAUAUUGGUGCUCCGAAGUUUAGGUCUUGUCUCAAUCCAAGAGUUUUGGUGCUGCUCUUUCUUGGAUUGUCUUCAUUGUUUGAGUCUCAAUUAUCACAUCCUUGGGUAAGGCACCAAAAUGAAGUAAUUAUACUGUUUCAAUUAGUGAAUUUAUGGGAAUAUCAUCCAACAUUUCCAUUAGCAGUUGGUGAUUAUUCGUAUUAGGUAUUGUGCAAUUGCAAUUAUUGCAUCUGUCUCCAGGUUACAAGGCAAUUAUCAAAAAUUACAAAUAGUAAAUUUUAACUCUCAAGGUGAUAAAGGAUGGACGAAUUGGCUUCGCAUUAAUAAUUUUUUUUUUUUAAAAAAAAAACUCUCAAAGUGACUUAACUGAUUCGGUCAUAGACAAACCAAAUUCCUCCAACACUUGACCCUUUAUUUGUGACGAUUCAAGUUUUGUUUCCUAAACCAAGAACAUGCAGAGUAUUUAUAUUUUUUAUAUUUAGUUUUUGUUUUUAUCAUGAGCCUAUUCGACCAGUUCAAAAACAGUUGCAUUUUCUACUCGAUUAUUGAAUGAGUUUGAUCUUGUGUUCAAACUAGAUUUAUUUGCUAUAGAAUCGAGCAUUUUCAAAUUCGAAUAAGCCAAAUAUGAACAUAUAAGCUAAUUGCAGGGAUCAUCAAAUGCACUAAUAGUACAAGUACUACAAAAAGGAAUUUUUAAGUUUUACAAUUCUAAACGCUUUAUGUUGGAAAGCUAAAGAUAGAUUUUUUUCCCCCAAUUGUUCGUUACAUUUUCCAAGAGUUUCAUGCUCACUAGACCCUUAAUAUUCAGCAAAUACACAAUUCAAGGUAUGUAUUAUGACUGUUCAGGAUUCUCAUCUCAUCUGUUACACUGAUCAAGAAACUAAUUCAUCUGUUCAUAACCCUCUGAUCAGUUUUCCAGGAAAUGUAUUACCAUCUAUAUAAACAAACCGCUUUUGCAGCUUCUGAAUAUGAGCUAGAAAGUUCAAGAGCAGCAAAACAAGAAUGAUGGUCAGGGCAAUUGCAUCUGCAGCAGUUCUGCAAAAUCUAUCACUGUUAAAUGAGAUAAAAUAUUUCGAAAAUUGGAAAGAAAAAAAAAAAAACUUUCGGCGCCCCUCCACAGAUCACGUUAGUCUUCUUGGAUUUGACCAUACCAUUCAUUACUUUUUGACAUUACCUCAGUACAUCAAUCCCAAAGUUCUUCUCGAAUACACAAAUCCAUGAUUCAUCAGCAAAAGAUAAAAGCCAAAUAGUACUGCUAGAAAUUAGGAACAAAUACCCCACUAAACCCUAUCGCAAAUCUCACUUUUAUGUAUAACCUUGCUUGUAUUUGCGAAACAGGUCCUCAGUCUUGGCAUUCCUAAAAGCACAACAUCCAAUUAAAUAAACCCAAAUCAAGCCCACAAGUGUGAUUAAUAAUAUAAUGUCUGCUCUUCUCCAUUCUUUCUUGAGAUUAGCCAAUAAUCCUGCUUUGCAUGAAUCGCAUGAGUAGCAAAGUUGUGUUUGCUCAUUGCUCCAUUGAAGGCAAUCCAUGUCUGCUGCUGUGUCUAUUGGACUAAUCCAGUAUGUUGGGUUCACAAAUGUGUAGCCGCAUUGUGUUGGAGGUUUACAGCAGCCUGACUGUAAAUGGAAUAUCAAGAAAAAGAUUAAAGGUGAAUCAUUCCUAGCGGGUAUAUAUAUAUAUAUAUGUGUGUGUGUGUGUGUGUAUAUAAACCCAUUUUCACACAUGAUUAAUUAGGGGCUUCAUGAUUGACAGGAAAAAAUAUAAAAGAUAAAAAUUGAACUUAAAACCCUUGUGUAUAAACACGUAGGAAAUUUUUUUUUUCAAGUUUUUAUUUUUAUUUUUUAGCCUCCCAUCCUUCCCCAUAGGUCCACUCUCUUCUCACUCCUAACUAUUGAGAUUUGAAUCUUAAAUUUGAUGGUAGAAAAAACUAUAAAAAUCCUCCCUUGACCACUAAACGGAUCCUAAUGGUUAACAUGUAAAAUUUUUUCUCACUCAUGUUUCUUAUGUAAAUGUAACAUUUUGUAACUUAAGAAUUUAGAUUCAUGCAAUUGCAAAAAUAAAAUUUGCAGAAACAAAAACUCAAAUUUUUACACAAUGUGUCUUAUUCUUUUGUUUUAAAAGUAGUGUAGUAACAAAACCUAAUCUUGAUUUAGGCUUUGUUUUUUAUUAAUCUUUCUAUUCAACUGUUAGCAGCUAUUUGUGGCUUUAACUAUUGAGGUCCUAAAUUGUUGUGUGGAAGAAUCUUCACUAUUCUAAGCUUUAUGAUGCUAUUAAUUCUUUUCUGUACCGACAAAGUAAAAACCUUGUUUGACAUAGAAAGCACUCUAAGAAUACUUUAGAUGCUAAAGCAUACGUGUGAAAUAAAAAAGAAAUGAUCCCUACUAAUCACUUUUCUUUCAUGAUAAGUUUUUAUAUUAGGUUUGAGUCAUUGAUCCUUUUAACAUUUUUAGUGGAAGAAGGUAUCAGCAGCUUUAAUAUUUGAAGAAUGUAAAAAGAGCAAAUCUGGAGGAUGGUGUAACAGAAAUCCACUACUGUUACCUCACCUUUCAAACAAAAAUGCUGAAGUAAGCAGGUAAAUUCAAAAUCCCAAAACAAAAAAGGGAAAAUAAAAGCAAAAAUAAAGAUCAAAUCCUUGUUAAUCCUCUUUUCUUUUUUUUUUUUGGAAAUAAGCAAGUAUGCAAUGCUUAAAAACCAAAAAGAAAAGGAAAAUAAAGACCAAAAAAAUUAAAAACUUUGUUGAUCCUCCUCUUCUUCUUCUUCUUCUUUUUUUUUAUUGCAAAGAAAUAUGGACCAUAUGUUACUUGAGUACACACAUUUGGUAGUUAAACUUUUGAACAAUAUUAUCAGUUUUAAUGUCCAACCAUGCAACAUUUCGCCAUAGAACCAAAAAAUGAUCAGAAGUAAAUUUUUAAGCAAGAAAAUGAAGUUCUUGAAAUUACCUGUAAGGGACUAAGAUGUGCAUUGAAGAAAUCUUGAGGCAUACGAUAACUUUGGUUCAACUCAGCACACAUGCUAGAAGAGCUAAGGCAACUUCUUAUUCUGUCCCAUUUAUAAGAGCUUUGAACUCUUCUUCGAAGCCAUCCGGAGAAGUCAUCAAGAUGAUAUUCCAAAUAAGCUCGGUUUGUUGCAGGCCGGCCAGAGCCUCUGAUGGUAACCAUAUAGAUAAAAACCACCAAACAAGCAAGCAAAACUAUGAGAACGAGCAUAGCAAUGAGGUACAAAAUAAGAAGCCAUGGAAUCCUCCAAAACCCUCCAAUAAAACCCGCAAGAGCCACAAUCAAAAUCAGAACUCCCAAGAUAAUCACUGGCCAUUGAAGAAGUUUUACACAGGAAUUGUCUGGUUCUGUUGCUAGCCAGAUUCCAGCACCGAUGAUGGGGAUUGAAAGAAGCAUUGCAACAAAGUUUAUGCAACCAAUAACAUUAUUGCUUAGUGCCAUUUCUUUGAAGAAGGAAGAAAUGCUAAGUCCUUUUUUUUUUGGGGGGGUUGGCUGAGAAGAAUAAGGAUGGAGGAAGAACAGGAAACUAGGUAGACAAGAUAGAGAUUUUGAUUUGCAAGUCACUAGUACUAGUUUUUGUUCUUUUCCUUGGAAGGAUGAAAGCUACUAAAGCAAAUGAAUCAUAGAUGUAAAUAGGGUUAUGAGCUCUUGGACCAAACGUUCAAUCACUUUAGUUUAACUUUUUAAAAGGGAAUAGUUGUAAAGAAAACAAAAGUAAAAGAAAGAAGAAAUUCCUCUCUCAUGAGUAGAAAUAGAAACUUGUGCUCUGUCAUAAUGUUGGGUACAACGAAGACUUUGUGCUUCAGAUGCCUCGGGCUCCAUACACACUGUGGCAUCUUUUCGCUGAAUUAGAUCUACGAUUGCUUGGGGUAAAAAAGUUAAUUAUGCUAAAGAAAAGAAUGAAGAACUAAAAUCACCUGGCUCAUAUGUCUCUAUCUUUGUAUCCUACAAAAAUAUUUAAACGUAGUGCACUUCGAUUGGUGAAAUCCUUUACCUAUAAUUAAGAGGUGGAGGGAAUAGGAGGAAUAGGAAAAGCAAGGAAAUGAAAAGAUGUUUUGAUUGAGUUUUUAGGAGGAAAAGGAAAGAAUAGGGAAAGAAAGGAAGGGAUUAAGUCUAAUUAUUUGUUGGGUUAAUUACAUUUACCUCCCCUGAGGUUUGACGAAUCGAUCCCUGAGAUUUGACCAAAUAACAAAAAGGUCCCUCAACCGUUAGUCUUUGCCGUUGACUGUUAGGGUUAAUUACAUUUACCCCCUUGAGAUUUGAUCAAAUAACGAAUCGAUCCCUAAAAUUUGAUCAAAUAACAGAUUCCUCCCCCACACUAACUUCUGUCACUUAUAUGUAACGGAAAUAGCCAAAAAUCUAAAUAACCCUUAUUGAUUUCCAUCAAAUUUUUAAGGAUUAAUUACAUCUAUCUCCCUUGUGGUUUGACCAAACUACUUUUAAAUCCCUGUGGUGUGGUAAUAUUACAUGUACCUCCUUUUUAAGUAAUCUCGUCAAAGACACUUAAAUAGAAGUAAUGAAAUAUCAUAUUUACCCUCUUUGUAAAACUUGUAGUUAGAGAAAACUUACCGUUAAAAAAUCGAAGGUGGUUUCAAUAAUAACGAAUUAAACUAAGAGUUUAUUACUUAAAUAAAACAGUUUUUAACCAGUAUAAAAGAAAAAAACCAAGCAUGUAAUAAUCAAACUUGAUAAAAUAUGCGCAUAAAGGAACAAAAGAAAGAAAAUGAAGAAAGAAGAAAAGCUUAGAAAACAAAAAAGAAAUUAAAAUGUGAAAAGCAAAGAAAGGAAUGGAAAAAAAAAGUAGAGUGAAAAAAGGAAACCGACAAUUGAGCGAUGAAAGAAAAUUUAUAGAAGCAAUGUAAAGGUUCACUCAAUCCACCACAAAAAUGAGACGGACAUGAUUUUCAAAAAUGAGACCAUUACCGGAUUCUCAAAUAUCCUUUGACUACUUAAUCGGCCAUGACAAAGUGUUUUGUGCAGAAAAGCCUUCUGCUAGUUUGGUUUUACAAUGGGUUACUAAUAAAUAGAGUAAAAUGUCAAUAGAAAUCUGGUACUUCAUUUAUAUAAUAUAGGAAAAGUAUAAGGAGCUGGUACAUUAUGGAAAGAAAAAAUGCGUACUACAUUUUCAACCCUCUUAUUCGCUAGAAAUUUUAAAUUUACUUUAUCUUUUAAAUAAAUUAUUUUUUGAAAAAAUAGGUAAUUUGUUCAUAUAAUUGGGAAAAGUCGUAAAACACUGGUAUUUUAUGGGAUAAUGGGUAUUACCCCAUGUAAUCCAAAAUUUGUCACUCUAUUUCACCAAAUUACAAAAUACGUGUAUGGCAAAUUUUGCAUUACAAGGUCUAUCAAAAUUUACUAUGAUUUUAUCUGUUAAAUAAAUUAAUAAUUUGUUGGAUUCAAAAUUUUAUCUGUUAACCAAAAUUUUUUUCUGAAAACACAAAAAUCGAUAGGUCAAAAAUUUGAUGGAAAUCAAUAAGGGUUAUUUAGACUUUUGGCUAUUUCCGUUACAUAUAAGUGACAGAAGUUAGUGUGGGGGAAGAAUCUGUUAUUUGGUCAAAUUUUAGUGAUCGAUUCAUUAUUUGGUCAAAUCUCAGGGGGUAAAUGUAAUUAACCCUAACAGUCAACGGCAAAGACUAACGGUUGAGGGACCUUUUUGUUAUUUGAUCAAAUCUCAGGGAUCGAUUCGUUAUUUGGUCAAACCUUAGGGGAGGUAAAUGUAAUUAACCCUUAUUUGUUAUGAGCCUGUAUUCCGUUUAAAAGUAGACAGACAUUGAGGGAAAAUAAGCCAUUAAACCAAGAUCAAUGAAAAUGUUAAAUUUUUUUUUGAAAUAUCCUUGUAUUUUUUCAUAUUUAUCAUUAAUGUAAUUUAUCUUUAAUACAAUCUCCACACUACCUUAUAAUCUAAACUUACUUUUUUAAAUUAUAUCUGAAACCUCUAAAUAUUAGAUAUUUUAUUAAUAUUUACUAUUAUUUAAAAGAUUUGCUUUUUGUAUUCUCGAGUUCUAAUUUCUUCUCCUAAAAAAACUUCAAAAUAAAAAAUAUUCGAUUCAUUUUGAAAUACUAUUAUCUUUGAGAUUUUCGUGAACAUAAAAGGAUGAAUACAAAUAAAUCAAACUAAAAAGGAGAAAAUAAACUAAAAGGAGGGUAAAUUAGAUUAUGUUAAAUUAUGGGCAAAUUCAAAAGGGAAAACGUUAAAAACGUUGCUCAUAGUUCGCUAAAUGAAUUGUUUUGUCUUUCACUUUUAAAAUAUUAACUUUACGUUCUUUACAAAUUCAAAUUAGCAAUAUUUGGUCCCAACCUAAGUUUCGAACCACUUUAAAAUCUGAAACCACCACGUGACUCAUAUGCAGCCAUUUUUUAUUUACAAAAAGGUCAUAUUCCACUUGUUUAGUAGCAAAAACGAAUAUAGAUUGGAUCAGAUCCCAUUUUUUUGAUGAAAAUAAAUAUGAUUCAGAUUAAAUCCUACUUUUUUACAAGUAAAAAUAAAUAUGGAUUGGAUCAUUUGUUUAACUACAAAUUGGCUCUAACCUUUUUGCUCCUAGAAAAAUGACCAUAUACGAGUUAUGUGAUGGAUUCAGGGUAAAAGGUAAUUGAAAACUUAGGUUAGAAUUAAAUUUUAUCGAUUUGAUUUUAUAAAGGAUAUAAAAUUACUAUUUUAGAAAUGAAGGACAAAACAAUUUAUUAAAAUGUGAGGAAUGUUUUAAACAAUAUUCCAAUUCGUAACAAACACAGUGAUUCCUACCCUGAUCCAAUCAAUACCUUUAGUGUUUUUUUUGAAUUAAUUUUUUAUACACUGACAGUGUAUAUACGUUUACCAUUAUAUGCAUGACAUGUAAUCCGAAUUUGAAUUUGAAACUCAAAUUUUACAUAUGUGUUUUAUAUCUAACCAUAAUAGUGUAUAUACCGUCAUCGUAUAUAAAAUUUACUAUUUCUUUUUUCCUUCCAUAUCCGAUCUAAACAAGACAGUUAGAAUCCGCUUGCUCUUCUCAUUCUUUUUCACUAGAGUCACUUCCUUCCUUUUUCUGCCCUUUCUUUUUCUUGCAAGGCCACUACUAUUUGCUUUUCCUAAAAGAAUUCUUCAUAAAUAUGUAACUGUACCCUUAAAAUAGAGGAAUUUAACAAAAAACAUAUCAUUUAACUCAUUUGUUGCACAAAUAAAAAAAUAUAUUGAAAUAGAAGAGGCGUGCAAUGAAUGUCCUUAACUUGUAAGGUUUUCAAACUGUCCUUAAUUUUUGAACGUCAAAAAUUUUAUACACGUGACAUGCAUUCUGCAUGUAUAUUUACCUUUAGUGUAAGAAUGAUUAAUUCAUAUAUAUAUAUAUAUAUAUAUAUCUUCUGUUUUUUAGCAUGAACUACAUCAACAAGAACAUCAAACAUGUACUUUCUUUUUUCUAAAAAGAAUUAACAAAGGAAAUAUUUGUAGAAGGAUUGGGCCUAAGCUGAAAUAUAGUUACAAGCCCAUCAGUUUGGCAGCCUGGUCUCUUGUCAGCCCAAACCAAAUUAAUUUGCAUGAUCUGCUUUGGGAAUUGAGAGGUUAUCUUUCAACAGAAAAAUCUCUGGAAACCAUCUUCUCCGACGGUUCCUUCAUUCAGUCAGCACUCAGCAGCAAUGGCUGCAAUUGAAGCAGCAGCAUUCUCCAUACUUUCUUCUUCCUCUUCGCUCCCGUCAACUUCCCCUAAAUGCUCUUUGCACUUCCUUAAACUUCCCAUUUCCACCUGUGCCCUUCCUUUUUCCUCGAAACGCCCACUAUAUCCCCUCCCUCCACUGCACUCCGCAAGAAAACCAAGGUUCCAAAUAUGCUCAACCUCCACAAUUGAAGAAGUUGUUACAGUAGAAGAAAAAACAGAGCCAUCCGAAGAGAAAACAGAGUCAGCCCCACAAACCAAUCAGAAAAGAAAGCUUUUUGUGCUAAAUUUGCCAUGGUCCUUCACCGUUGCUGAUAUUAAGAACCUCUUUGCUGAAUGUGGCACUGUUACUGAUGUUGAGGUACUUCCAUGAGUGGGAUAUUUCUGUUAAAGAACUUACUUUGGAUGAAUUUGUUGAAGUUGAAGAAGUGAUUUUAGUUGGUGGUUCUUUUUUCUUUUGGGUCUGAAUUUGUUAUUGAAGUGAGAUUAAAUCGUGGGUUUUGUUUGUCCUGCAUAAUUUGUUAAUGAAGUUAUUUUUGAAUGGUGGGUCCUGUUUAUCUCGAUGAAUUUGUUAAAGGAGUCAUUUUGAAUCGUGUUUUCUGUUUUUUCUUGGAUGCAUUUGUUGAAGAAGUGAUUUUGAGUAGUGGUUUUUGUUUUUCUUGGAUGUGGCAGAUUAUAAAGCAGAAAGAUGGUAAAAACAGGGGCUUUGCAUUUGUGACAAUGGCUUCUGGGGAAGAGGCUCAGGCUGCUAUUAAGAAAUUUGACUCUCAUGUGAGUUGUUUUGGAAACUAAAUUUUCUGAUUAUUGUCUAUUAUCAGUGUCCUUUAAUGGUUUACUAGAUGUAUAGCACAAUGUGUUUGUUAUCAGAGUCGAAAGGAUAAGGAAAUAAUUGUGAUUGAGUGGGGGAAUGAGUGUGUAUUUGCGCAAAGUGAUGGGUAAGAGUAUUGGAGCAAUUUUGUUGAUAUUUACAUAUCUGACUUCCAAUAAUGUGAGAAAAUGGUAGUUUUGCUUCGUUAGUCAAUGAUAUUUGAAUCUUUAAGGUGUAAUUCUAGCUGCAUAUAAGAUACUCAUCUAUAGCUGGAUUUGAUGAGUUGUGCCUUCAUCUUAAGUUCUAAAAUUGUAUUUGUGAUGCAUGUUAUAAUAUAAGCAAAAUGAAAAGUCUAAUAAGAGGAAAAGAAAGAUGAGAAAGGAAAACUUUUGUUGGAUACUGUUGGGGCAGAAAAUAGGACAGAACACAAUUACAGAUCAUGGAUACACAUCUUUAACCUCGCACCCCCCCCCCUCCCCCAAAAAAACACCAGAGAAAGUUAUUUCCUUGUCACCCCCUUGCAAAAUACUUGAAGAAUGUUGAUAAAUAUUUUCCCUUGAUAUCCCUUCUUUUCUCCACAAGUUUUCCAUCCAAAUGAUAUUAAUAUUCUCAUCUCCGGAGACUUGUGAAUACUGAUAUAAUUUUCCUGGUUCAAGUGAGAGACUGGUAAUGUUUGUCAAAAAUUACGUAAUGUAAGAUAUAUCUUCAAAUCUGCAGAGGCUGUAAACCAUCAACAUUGCUUUUGUGCUGGCUAUCUUAAGGAAACAUGCUGAUUAUUUUUAAUCGAUAAUGGUUUUCUUAUUGACUGUCAACUAUGAAUUUAAAUUGUUCUUUCACUUUUCACUGGAGCAAUGACCUUCUAAGCUCUAAAGAAAUGAAUUCUUAUUUACUUCUUUCUGAUUAAAGUCCAAUAUCAUCUAUAUUUCAAAUGGCUAUGCAAAAUUUUUUUAGGAAAAAUCGCAUUGAAAACAUCCAACCUAAUUGAUAACAACUAUUAUUUUUGAUAAUUUUCCUUUAGUACUCGAUGUCUUUAGUCAUUUUGCCAGGGUAUACCAUGGGAUACACUAAUUACAACUUUUUACAAGUUUGAAUUCUUUGCUUGUGACUUUAUGUCAAUGAAAAAAGGGAUGUAUAAAGGGCUAUCUUUAAGUGAUCUAGUAGCAUAAUGUACAGCGAGGAAAUAUAAAUGUGGGGGAGUCCUUGGAAAUCCUUUGCUGUCUUAAUUUUCUUGAGGAAGAUGUACCAGUUGGCACUGGCCUGGGGUUUUUCUGCCUGGCAAGUUCUACAAGUACUCUGGUUGCUAAAGGUGAUUCUUCCGUGCUUCAGCAAUAAGUCCCCUUUUUCAUCUGUCCUUCCAUUUGAACAUGGUAAUAAGCAUGACUAAACCUUCAGGAAGUAGAUUGUAAGAAACUACAAAUGAGGGUAUAGAUUUGUAGCAAAAAUAGAAGAAAUGAUCAAUACUAUAAGGAUAGGGAAUGACAAAGAAUAUGCGUGCACGCCCAUGCAUCUUCUGCUAACUGAAUUGUGGCACUCUAAGAGGGUAUGAUAAAGGCUUUUAUUGUGUCUUUGACAAAGUGUCAAUCACUUCAAGGCUGCAGCUUAUGAUUGGUGGUAAGCCGCGUUGAUGAUUUCAUCAAAGACCUUCUUCAGAAUAGAGAGCAAAUUCCUGAGGAUUCAAGGUGGCCAUCAUUGUGCUUGGUUUCUUUUAGUUGUAAUAUUUUUGAGCAGGGGCUUUGAAGAAAGUAGUAUUUUAGGGGUCGAAAGAUUUCUGUGUAAUUAUUUUGUCUUCGUUAAUGUUAUAAAUGACACCAAGUAACCUUCAAAAGAAGAUAUAUUUGCUCAUUGACCUUGAGAAAGACUGAAGGCAAAUACACGCCUUUCCCCAUUUCCUUUGGUGUUUCUGUUUGAAUAUAUAUGUGUUCAUGAGUUCAAACAGAAGAAAGAUCUCUAACAACAUCUGUCCCAGUAUUUUAUUUAUGUUAUGUUUUGUGGCACAGGAAUUGUCUGGUAGGAUUAUCAGGGUAGAGCUUGCAAAGAGAUUCAAGAAACCCUCACGUUCACCUCCUGAGGUUCCUUCCCGUGGUGAGACCCGCCAUAAGCUGUAUGCAUCCAAUCUUGCCUGGAAGGUGAGGUCUAGCCACCUGAAAGAAUUCUUCUCUGCCUACAGUCCAGUUUCGGUUAGGGUUGUCUUCGAUAGUCCUUCAGGACGAUCUGCUGGGUAUGGUUUUAUCUCAUUUGCCACAAAGGAGGAAGCAGAAGCUGCAAUGUCUUCUUUGGAGGGCAAGGUAUUAACAAUAAACUAUUUCUGCUUCUAUUUGGUUGACUUUCUUUCAGCUGACUUGACAAUGGGGUUCACAGAAUUGUUUGGUGUGGAAACAAUUAUUUUUUUGUGACAUAAUUUUAUGCAUGUCUACAGCCUUCAAAGAACUCCAUCUUCUCCAAACUGCAUAUCAGUUUGUCUUGGUACAAUCCUCUAGCAGAGAGUGGGCAUGUAUAUCGGUAGCUCAUGGUAAGUUAGAAAGAUGUUAGAAUCAAUAUCAGGAACACAAGUAAUUUGAUUAUUUGAGACGUUGAUUGGGAUAUCCAAAUAUUGGAAACUAAAGAUCUAAACUAGAGGAGUUUUAAGUAUGCAUGUGCAGGAUUUGAAAUGGAGAGUAUGAUGUACUUAACUAAAGGGAUUACUGAUGUAGUUAAGAGUUAGUAGUUUCAUUGGUGGAUGGUAGGAGUGUAUAAGGUGAUCAUGUCUUCAAGGAAGGAAUAACAAGUGAUAUUUAGCUUUUAACAUGACGAGUUGGAUGAUGUUCAAGAUACCCAAACUUGGUUUUAUCUUCAAGUAUUAUUGCACCCUUUUGUGCAUCUCACUGUUACAGAUUUUGUAGAUACCCAACAAUAUACACUUGAAUAACAAGUGGUACUUACUUUUUAUUGCAAUCUUUUGUACUCGCUGCUAAAGACUUUUUACAUAUCCAACAGUCUACAGAAAUUCCAUGAGCCAAUGCCUAUUGAGCCUACUAAGCGUAGCACCUUCUCUAAAUUUUGUACAAGGCUGUCGAAGUAACCCUAGUAUGUGUAUUACAUAAUUUAUAUAUUUCAAUAUAGAGUGUACCUGAAGGACGUUGGGUUCUUCAGUAAAUAGCCAAUUAACCAUCACAAACAGAUUGUCAGAUUGAACAACUAAGUAGUGGAUAUUAGGAGCAUGGACACUCCUUUUGGGUCUGUGUAUGUUGAGAAGCAUCAAGUGGAAUUAGCAUUUUGAAAGAUGAUGUCAAAAGGAAGAAGAAACUGAUUUUGGAUGUAUUUCUGGUCGUUUUAGUGCAUUAAGUGGGGCCAGGAGUAAAAAGAGGAAUAAACUAGUGUAUAUGCUUAGCAUUUUAUUAGAAGGUUUUGCUAAGUCCUGAAGUUGAUGAGAAUACACGUUUUCUAUAUUCUAAUUGUGCACAAUCUGCACAUCUCAUGGCAGAAAUCUUUGGGUACAUAAACUUUUAUGCAGUGCAAAUUGUAGAAAUAUGGACUUUGGGGAUAUGCUUUUGGUCCCUGCUUGUCUGAUAAUAACCCUUACUGAGAGUUCUGCUUACUGGAGAUUCUUCAUAGAGAAACUCACUAGCUUUCAACAUUUCCAAUGAUUUGUAUUAAGGGUUACACCUGUAAUUGUUUAUGAAAUGGUAUCUUACUGGCAAAUUAGUUUUAUUCACCUCUAUGCUUUCAUUUCAUUUUCCUUGGUAAUUUUAUAGUGCUCAGAUUACAGUUUUAUUGCUGCUAAUCUUCACUUCCCUCCAAUGUAUAUACAUCUGCAACACUGGCAGGGUGAUCAACAAUUGUCUCUCCGUGUGAAACAUGAUUCUUUGGCAUGAAUUCUUUAAUUCUAUGUAACACAUUAAUUUAUGGUGUUAAUUCUCUAUGCUCUACAUAAUUUUUUGGCACGAGUUCAUUACAUUAUUUGUCAUCUUCGAUUUCCAUUUUGUAGGAGCUGUUGGGCAGACCUAUAAAAUUGAAGUUCAGUCAAAAGAAUGAUGACGAAUCUGAAAAUGAAGUGGAAGAAACGACCGAGGAACAACCUGCGGAUCAAUAGCUUCACACUGAUUCUGGCUUUGAUGAUGGUGCUUGCAGACAGAAGAGGAAAAUUACAAGUUAAGUUGAUGUUCUUCCUCUUAUCCUGUAUAUGAGCAGCCAGGAGCACCAUCAUCUACGUUUUUGCAUUUCCUUAGAUUAUACUCUGUAAGUACUCAAGCUAGCAGUCUGUAAUGGCCUUCGUCUGUUGUAUGAUAUUCUCCCUGCAGAUUUUACACUAUACAGUCUUAGCAACGUAGAAAUUGUACAAUCAUGAAUCUUGUGGCAGCUCAAUACUAGGCACAUAGUUUGUGUACACAAAUAUGAUUGUGAAAUCUCCAUAGCAAUUACUUGCAAAUAAAUGAGACUUUUCUUACUUUAGCCUUGGUGAAUCCUAGAAGUUCCAUUGAUAUGCUAUUGUGAGGCAAUGAAAAGAUAGCCAGUGAGUUGACCUAUUUUUCCCAAAAAAAAAAAAACACAAAUACAAGGUGUAAGGACUUCAAAUCAAUUGUUUAAAUUUGGUUUGAAGAAACCAAUAAUUUCAAAAUUCGACCUCCGAAUGGGGUGGUAAGUUGAAUGAUGCCUACGAUCUUUUUUUCCAUUCGAUAUGCAAAAGACCGAGGCAUCAAACAUCGAGUCAUGCUAAGUUCAAAACCAAUCAAGUUUAAUUCAUUUUUUUCUUUCAAGGACUUAAUAAAGCAAAGUGAAAAGUAGUGGAAAUGGAUAUAGGGAAAAUGAUCGGUUUCAUCCUUCACAUUUCACAAAAAUAUUCUUUUCAUCCCUCACUUUUAAAAUAAAGCAAUUUCGUUCUUGACAUUUAAAAACUAAAAUUAUUACAUUCCUGAACCUAAAUUUCAAUUUAAAUCAAAUCACCAAUCAACCUGAUUACAAAUUUUUGGGGUGUAAUUGGUAGAUCACUUGGUUAACUCAACUUGAUAUUCAUGUAAAAUUUAAUGAAUCUAAAAAGAAAAAAUUAUAAUAUAAAAAAGAAAGAUUAAUCUUUUCUACAUUAUCAUUGUAUAUACUGACGGUUUUAUGUACCGCCAUAUCAUUUUAAUUUAAAUUUAAACACCAAAUUUUAUAUUUAUGAUACACAUCUAGAUUCGCAAACGGAUAUACUAACGGUGCAUGAAAAGAUUUAUAUAAAAAAAAAAACUCUACUAUUCCAAGACAAAGAAUGGCCUUUUAUGUUAUAAUUUUUAUUUUUUUGGUUUAAUAAAUGCCAUGUGAAUACGAUGAAAUUGACCGAAUGAUCUAUCAAUUCUAUUUUCGAAAUUUAUUACUGGGUUAUUGGAUGGUUUGAUUCAGAUUGAAAAUUAGGUUCAUGGAUGUAAUAGCUUUAAUUUUUAAAUGUCAGGGACGAAUUUGCUUCAUUUUAGAAGUGAGAGAUGAAAAGAAUAUUUUUGCGAAAUGUGAGGGAUGAAACAGGUCAUUUUCCCAUGGAUAUAAUACAAGAUCUAAGUACAAAAUUUGGUUUGUUUUAUAAAGAUCUAUAGAGUUAUAAACACAAGAAAUGUUCCCCUAGAUAUUUUUUGCAAAUGUGACCCAAGUGUGGGUGUGCAAACGAGUCGGGUCAAGUCGAGUUUUAACCUAAUCGAACUGAGUCUCAACUUAACUUUAAGAAACUCAAACUCGACGAGGUCAAAAUGUCAAGUUCGAGCUUAAGUUUAAAAAAAAUAAUUAUUUUUAUUUUUUAAAAAUAAAUAAAAUAAUAAUUUUUCUUAACAAAUAAUAAUAUAUUAGGGAUAUAUAUGUAAUUUUACUAUUAAAAUAAAUAAAUAAAUAUAUAUAAUCGAGUUUGUGAACUAAUGGGUUUAAUAUUUUUGAACUCGAGUUCGACUUGAUCGACUCAAGCUUGGACUCGAGCAGCUUCGGAGCAGUUCAAUUCGUUUGCAACCCUACUUGAGAGUAGGCAUGUAUCCUUGUAGGGUAGUUGUGGGAUCAUACAUAUAUAUAUACUCACACACACAUGGAGGGAAUUAACACUUGCAGGUUGAUGGAUGUAAUUAUUUGGCCUGUCGCAAGCGUGAAGGACAACAAAUUCAGAAAACUGGACGAAGAUAUGCAUUGUCCUUGUGGGUUCUGCUUAUAUUGUUUGUUUAUGGAUAAACAAAUCUUGGUGGGAUAUACAUUGUCUCAGAGAAACAGAAAAGAGAAAACUUUCUUGGAGUUUAUAUAAUAUAUAUACACAUUUUGGAACAUAAAUAAGCAUAUGAGCUACCAAAAGAACAAGGGUUGGUCAAGAUAAACAGUCACCCUUUCUCCCCACCCUUUCUUUUACUUUUUAAAGUUACUGGGAUGUGUUUCUGCGUAGGAGUGAAUAAAUUCUUGAUUUUAACGCCAAUCAUAUUCUUGACUGAUUUUGAUUCGAGUCUCGAGUUACCAAGAAAGAGACCUGAUUGACAGGAAUACUCCAGCCCAUCAUAUUCUUUAUAUAUAUAUAGGGGAUAAUUGCAGAAACCUCCCCUGAGUUUUAUGGUAAUAGCAUUGACCUCCCCUAUGAAGUUUAAAAUAGCAAUCACCUCCCUAAAAAAAGACUGACACAAUUUAAUACAUUCUUCAUUGUCAAUUUACUAAAAUACCCUCACUAAAAUUUAAUUUUACCAAAGAAUGUGAUGACUUAAACCUAGUAAAACGUUUGUCAUUUUGAUAAUUGUAGUUUACACUAAAUUAACUAUUUAUGCAUAGUUUAACUAAAUAACUAAAUAACUAAUAAUCUAAUUAAUUAAUUAACUAAUUAUCUGUUGACAUAAAUAACCAAUUAACUUUAGAUGCUUAACUAAUUAUCUAAUACACUAAAUUUUUUUUUUUUUAAGUAAUUUGUUAAAUAGCCUGCCUGAAACCCGCUUGCGGGUUUCCCCUUUAUGUAAAAUGACUAAAAGCUGCGUUUCUGUUCUAUUUAUAUCAAACACAUACUCUCAAACCCUCACCUGAAGGGUGAGGAUGAGAGGGGAGGUUUUGCUGGGCAUCCUAGGGCCCUCCGAUGGGCAUGUGCAACUCAACGCAGCUUGCAUGUAAAAAAAAUUUUUUUUUUUUAAGUAAUUUGUUAAAUAGCCUGAAACCCGCUUGCGGGUUUCCCUCUUUUUUUUUUUUUAAAAAUAAAUUCUAUGCUAAAAUGACUUAAAACAAAAAUAAAAGACUAAAAGUAAAUAAAAACUAGCAUGAAAAAUAAAAAUAACAGUAAAUAAAAAUACACUAAAAAUUUGGUGUCUACAGUAGUUAAUGAAUAAUCUGGAAACAGAUUGAAUGAAGACUCAGAAGAAACGGAAGCUGGUCUCUUAUUAUUAAAGAGUGAAGGCUAAAAUAGGCAUAUCAGGUGAAAGUUUGUGGUGGAAAUCUGUUUUUCGCAUAUGCACGCGCCUUUGCAGUUCGUUUAAGACACACGCCGAAUAUUUGACGAUUUCCGUCCACUUUUCAGGUUAAUUCAAACCACGGGGUAUCGACUGGUAUGAUAUGAAACCACAAGGGGUUUUUAUGUAUGAUUGCCUAACCACAGGGGGCUUUUUUGUUGUUUACCCAAAAAAGUAUAAUUUGUUGGGGUUGUUUUCAGACUCAGAAAUCUUCAAUGUUGCCUUUCUAUUGCACCAGCAAUAUUUGUUUUGUAUUGUGAAGGAUGUAGGAGAGUUCCAUGAUGUUCUCCUGUGGCUGGAAGAAGCCAUUUUCUGAUUUCUGCAAUAUGACUUGAAACUGCCAAACUGAGUAUCAAGCAAGCUGUGUUUUGAGCUGGAAAAUUGCUGCUGCAUACAUGAGUCCAGAUUCUGGUAUUCAUUUUGCUACUGACCAUCGUUUAUAAGCUAGUGCCUUAGUUACAUCAAUUAGCCGUUAAGUAGCCGUUGGUUUCUCAGCAAAUGAAGUUGUUGUAGGUCAUCAUCUGGAAGCAUGUUGUUGCAUUUAUACCCCCUGAACUUCCUUGUGCUUAAUGAAAAAGCCCCUCCCUUGUUAAUACUACUUGUCAACCAACAUCAGGGCAAAUUUGGAACAAAUUUUUUAUCUCACUUGUACAGCUAAUUUUUUAAUGGGAAUUGAAGCUGCCUGGACUGAUUUUGCAACUUAAUGUUCCUGUUGAGGGGUGCUAUCUGCCAUUUCAGAACUUAGAGGGGAGCUCAGUGCAACUGUCAGUAGUUUCAGGGGAGGUUUCUGCAAUUUUCCCUAUAUAUAGUUGCUGAUUAAAAAAAUUAGUGCUUUAACCAAAAAGGAAAAAAAAAAUCAGUCACCAUGAUUCAUCUCAACAAAAGCUAGUUAGCUAUAGGAAGAGACAGAGUAGGUCAUUUUUUAGAUAAGUUAAGGAGUAAAAGUACUGUAGAAGUGAUUGAUUGGUCAAAAAAAAAAAGAGAAUAUAUGCCCUGUGUUAAGUGGCGUUUACUCUUCUUCCCAUUUAUAGGAUUCUCGGACCUAUAGGACUAUGAUGCCCCUUGGAAAAUGAAGGUGACGAAUCAUUUGACAUAUUCAGAUUUUUCUAUCAUGCUAUAUCCUACGUUACCUAGAUCCUCAUCUUUUCCAGAUACACUGCACGGGUAGCAUAUAGUCAUAUAGUACCAAAAUUUUGUUGUUUUUUCAAGGGAAAAUCAGCUAGUUUGUCUCCAAUUUUCAAUCGUGCUGAAUAGAACAUUCCCCUUUAAAUCAUUCUCCCUCCUCUCUUUUCUUUCUUCUUUUUUCUUUUAAAAAUUUGUUCUGUAUUUUUGAUCAGCUAGCUUUUAUUUGUCUAUUUAUUCAUUUAUGGACACAUUUGGUCAUCUAGCUUUGAAUGAUACUCUUUUUUUUUUGGGAAAGAUAGCUUUGAAUGACACUGAUACCCUACUGAUCUUUUAUCUAGUUCUGCAAAGUCGGGCAGGUUCAAGUCUUGCAGCUGACUAUGAUUUCAAUCACUGGUUCAGGUAGAUCUAACUUGAUGGAUGGCUGCAAUUCAAAUCAGAUUUCGAUGUCUCACAUCAAUACAGUUUCUGUUGUUUCAACUUUCUAUUUGUCGGUGAAGAUAUGGUAAAUUGUGUCAAUUUCACAUCUUUAUCUUUAUGGAAAAAGGGCAACUGUCUCGCUCUGAAUACACAUGCAAUGUGAUAUUCAUUCAGCUACUUCACUUUGGCUAGUGGCCUCUUGAACAAUGAUAUAAAAGCAUUGAUUACUUUGAUGAAUUCCCAACCAACAUGACCACCCUAGCUCUUUGUCAACAAACCAUUAUCUGAAAAAAAGUUAAACAAAGGAAUUAAUAAAGAAAAGAAAAGAAAAGAAAGAGGAAAAGAAAAUGGACUAUAACCAAUCAAAGAACAGUCUUCCUCGGCUUUCUAUCCAAGCUGCUUUUUUCUGCUUUUCCACCUUCAGCCUUCAGCUCAUAUUUUCAACAAAUGUCCCAUCAGAGCACUCUCUCUUAUUCUUCAUACUUGAUACUUGCUCUUCAAUCCUCUCAAACUUUCCUCAAUUUUCAUCUCAAAUCAUGUUAUAUAAUUAAAUGUGCUCCCUCCCUCCCUCCAAAAACAGUUCUUAUCACUGCAUAGAUAAGCAAACAUUUACUUUCGUACUUUGCUUAUGUUUUUGUGCUGUGAUAAACCAGGCAUUAGUUACUAUUCUCUGAUCUUUCUUUCUGUCUUCUGUUCAAGAUGGGUUCUAUGGCCAGCCCAGAACCUUGGGUUGCUUACACAAACACCAAAGAUUGUUCUCAGGGUUUUUGUAGUGUUUACUGCCAACAAUGGUGCUAUAAGGAAUUCCCUCCUCCACCUCCCUUUGAAUUCCCUCAUGCAAGUGCUGGAAUUUGCUUUCCACCUUUUGUUAUUGCCAUUAUAGGCAUUUUGGGAAGUGCUUUGCUUCUUGUGAGUUACUAUGCAAUAGUUUCCAGGUAUUGUAAGAAGAGAGAUUCCUCCAGAAGGAGAGAAACUCACUUCCCAAUUGUAGAAUCAGUGGAGAAUCAACAUCCUUCAAACCAUGAGCCCUGGAUUGUUUCUUCUGGCAAUGGCUUAGAUGAGGCUCUGAUCAAGUCUAUUACACUGCUCAAGUACAAGAAAGGAGAUGGCCUAAUUGAAGGGACGGAUUGCUCGGUUUGUCUAAGUGAAUUUCAAGAUGAUGAAAGCUUGAGGCUUUUACCAAACUGCAGCCAUGCUUUUCAUGUAAUGUGCAUUGAUACUUGGUUCAAAUCUCACUCGAAUUGUCCAUUAUGCCGUGCAAACAUUGCUUUUGCCAAUGCUUCUUCUCCUCCUCAAUUGCCUCCUGUGAUGGAAUCUCCACCAGGCAAUGAGUCCACAUUGCAUAGCGAUCACGAGAUUGAGAAUGCUUCUGAAGAAGACUUGGAGAUGGGAAUCAGAGAAGCAGAAUCACAGAAUGACAUCACGAGAAUUUCCACCAGACACGCUACCAAUUUGGCCACUUCAGGAGAUCACAGCAGACUAAGUGGCGUUACAAUUGAAGAAUGCGAAAAAAUAACAAGAUCAGUGUCUAUGGAUUGCACAAGUCAGAGGCGAUUAUCGUUAGCUGAUGUUUUGCAGAUUGAUCAGGACGAAGAAGGUCAAUCAAUGGAAAAGAUCACGCUUAGAGAUGAUGUUGGGACAUCAAAACAACCACAUGUAGAUAUGAUCAGGUCUAGCAAUAGGAAUAUAGUGUUGCAUUGUGUCUCAAGCCCUGCUAUUCUGAAGAAACCAUUUUCGAGUGCUAGAUUUCUUUUCACAAACGCUGGAAGGGAAGGCAUGAACUAAUUCCCCUGUGAAAUUUUGGAAAAUACAUUAUCAAAACGAAAAGAAGAAAUGUCAUUGAGCAAUCAAAGCUCCUAUUUUAUUAUUCUUGUUUUGCUUGUCCUUAAAUUUUUGUUUCCUGCACCAGAGAAUAAUGUUUUUGCCUUGAAUUUUUGAGGUCCAAAAAGCAACUAAAGUGAAGAAGCUUGCAUGGACAGCACUUGCAUGUUUCUCCUUUCUUCUUUACAAUUCCACUCUUAGUUUCAAUCUAUUACUUGGCCAUUCUUGGCAUUUAUUCAUCCAGAUGAAGAAACCAGCUCUCGUUCAGUGUUUUGUUUUUCGUUCUUAUUGGCACAUGCAACACCUUACCCUUUAUUUAUGUUCUUCAUCACAAGUGCCAUAAAUUAAUGGUAGGCAAUCUGCAUUUGCAACUGAAAUUUGGACUCUUGAAUGUUUCUAUUGCUCGUGUUUAUAAAUCCACCAGUUCUUCUGAUAUUAGUGUUUGAAGAUUAGAUUUGGACUGCUUGAACAAAAUGAAAUACUCAAUAGUUUUUAAUAAUUUCUGAUUAGAAGACUAAACCAAGAGUUACUAGUAAAUAAAUGUUUAAUUAAUUGCCUUGAGAAAGAUUGCUUUGUCCAGCCAAGUAACUUUCUCUGUGUGGGAUGUUUUGAUGAAUAUUUGGUAAUUAUAACAAUCUAAAAAGAAUAUUUAAUAUAUUGGACAAGUAAGCAUGGCCUCCUCAAAAUCAUUAUAGCAAGCCAACAAAUGGCCCAAAAAGACAUUCUUGACGUUUGAGCUAAGUUACAUAAUCAUAUCCUCAAAAGAAGAAAAAAGAGAGAAGACCAGAAAAAAAGAAAGAAAAGAAACCGAGAAUCAUGCCCAACAUAAAUUCCAGGUUGGGACAAGUUUAUGUACUAUAUUAUUCAAACUUCUUCUUUUCGUGCAGUAUCAUGGAUUAUGACAAAUGAAAAGGAAAGGAUAAUAGUGCCCUUCAGAUUUGGCCUUGCUGCAAAAUUGUGCUUAAAACAUUAACCCGUUAAACAAAAUUCUGCCCUUCUAUUAGUGCCCUUUGUUCAUUACACAAAUACUACUACAUAUUCUGGCUGAUGAUCCCAUGGCGAAUGAUUGCCAAACCACGCCUUCAUUUAUGCACUUGCUGCUUAAAAAAGUUGUUGAGCUUGCUUGCAUGACCUCUUGGCGGGGUGCAAGGAGGGUUUUCGGAUUCCCCUUCUUACAAAUGUUCAAUCAAGUUGUUGGUUAAGCCAAAAAAAAAAAAAAAAUCCUAACGUGUACUUAAAUUACACCUAACCUACCAUGUGAAUACGUAAAAUCAUAAUUAUUGCACUCGUGCAUUUAGGCCUUGUUUCAUAACCCAGUUCAACACUUAAAUUUAAUGGAUUUAUUUGAUAACCAAAAUUGAAUAUCUAAAUUAAUUAAGUGGCAUUGAAUUUUCUAGGCAAAACUUAUUUCCAAAAUUAAGUGAUAAACUAUUCACUUAUUACUGAAUGUGAUGUGCACUCAAAUGUAUUAGAUUUAAUAUUUAAAAAUUUAAUAAUUUAAUAGAUUCAAAAUUCAGAUUCCAGAUUCCAGAUUUCAAAUUUCAGUUUUCAAACUUUACUUUUAUCAAACGCACUCUUAAAUAUUUUUUCAGAUUAACUGCUAACUAACAUCUAAAACCCCUUUUAACGAACACCCUUAAGCCCCCCCCCCCCCCCCCCCAAAAAAAAAGGUUACCUUGUCAGAUUAGUGGAUUUGUUGGCCUAUGCCACCAGUAUUCACACCUAGAUUUUGUCAUUUUGUCAUCCAAAAAUAUUAUGGUGUGUGAGAAAUCCACAUAUAAAACAAAGGGUAUAAAUAUUUUAAACAACUUUUGGGGAGUCAGAAUUGUUCGGAAAAUUGCGUUUCAAGUGGGGCCUAAACUCUGCUAACUGAUUCCUGAACAAAGUGGCGGGAAGGGUGGGCACUGAAGAGUGAAGGCGAAAGGAAACAUGACAUCGAAGAGGUAAACUAGAGUUAAUACAAAUUUUUACAAAAAAACAGUAGUCCCAGAUCGAAGGCUGUUUACCAAGAACACCUUUAUAGAUGCUACUGUCCAGCACCGGCAAAACUCGCCAACCAGGAGACUCUUCGAACGCGGUGCAAGGAGGGCUUCCCAAUUCCCAUGAUCGCCUUCUUAGGCUUUUGGCCCGUGGAACUAGUAAUUGUUUUUAUGGGCUAAAGAAGUGGGCUUUGACAAAGUUCCAUUUGUAGUUUUCUUCGCAAUGCUUUAAAACUCAAUCCGAACCAGCUGGUUGAACCAAUUGAACCAUCAACUAGCCUCCUUUUUGGUCUGAAUUUGCUUAAAAAACCUAUUAGUAUCAAUUUAUAUCAGUUAAAUCGUCCGAUUCAACCACUGAAUCAUUGACUCGAAACGGUUUUGUGAGAACCGAUUGGUUCAAUAUCGAACAUUGAUUAAGCCAACAAUUUUAAAUUUGGUUAACUAAUCUUAUUAAUGAAAUUCCAAAUUUAAUAUUUUACCAAUUAUUCAUGCAUAAUUAUCUCCAAUUAAUUAGACAAUAAUAAUUAUUGCCUUAUUCUACUCAUUUCUCUCUCUCCUCCAUAAUUGCAUAUUAACUCUUGUUUAACAUUUAUAACAUUUAAUUGACUAUAUUAGUUUUUUUCUCGAGAUAACUCCGAUGCCUAUGUUAGACCAUAGGGAGUUCAGGAGUUGAAGGCAAGUAUAUAAGUUGACAAGUGGAUGAUUUUUUUGGGGUGUUUGGAAGAGAGAUAUUUAUACCCGCAAACCGUAGUAUGAAUCUCGAAAAAUGAAAAAUGAAAAAUGAUGUGAUAGUAAUAGGGGUAUCGUCGCUCAAACCCUAAAUGUGUAAUAUCUGUAAGAUAUCAGAUUAGGUGUCAGAUGCGAGUGUCAGCCACGUGUCAGCGAGAGACAGCUCAGCAAAUCCAAGAUUGUGUGAGACUUCGAUAGCUGCUGCAAGACGAAGAAGGUAACCAAGUGGUCCCACAAUAUUAUUUCUAAACAAUUCAACAUUCUCCAAAAAAAGUUAUAUUUAAAAGAGAAGAAGGUAUUGUUUCUAAAAGUUUUAAUUGAACUUCUCAAGUUCACCACAGUAAAUUAGAGGGAAGAGUUCCAUUUAGUAACUUAUGCAUGGAGCCCAAAAUUUGUUUGUUUUUUUUUUUAUAAAGGCUACCUUGUUUGGAUUAUGAUUUUUCACAAAAAAAAUUUUACAUUUUCUAUUAAUACAUCUCCUAAUCACAUUUUUAUCUCGCAUAUAUUCGUUUUUCUAUAAAAAAAAAUAUCCAAAAGUAGCAAUCGAAACAGGAAUAGCAAUCGUUAAAUUCAUGACAACCAAUUUGAACUUCAAAUUCUGCAUAUGUGUUAUGCAUCUUAUUGUGAUACUAUAUACACUAUAAGUAAAUGUAAGAUUAAUUCAAAAAAUAAGUACUUUAUUUUUAAGAUUUUUUUUUUUUUUUGCACAUUGACGGUGCAUAAAGUAACGGGUGUUGAUGGCUUGAAGAAUAUCAUAUAUGUAAAGAAAUUAAAAUUAAAAUUUAAUUUAUAAUUAAGUGAUAUACAUUCAAACCUGUCGAUGUAUAUCCUCACUAUAUACAAGAUUUACCUUUGUCUUUAUAUCAAUAGUUUAGCUCAUAACAUAAAAGGCAAUAAUUUUGAAGAUAAUGCCAGUUUCAGUGGUUUUGGUUCUGACUUCUUGUUUCCAAUGCAGAUUGAUCAUCUGGUUUUUCUACUGUACUAUGCUCUAACAACAUAAUAAGGCUUAAUUUUAAAUCUCUGUUUCCACAACUAAACUUGUACAAACUGGUUGAGACAUUCAUCAACUGUGGUACAUUUCACAUCAGCAAAAAGCUUCCAUCCUUAGACCGCAGAGCCAGUCAUACUUGUCAUUUUUCUUUUCCCUUUUUUUUUUCUGAUCAUCCGGUUAAUAUCUUUUUUACCAACUGAGUUGGGUUUGGGAACACAAAUUUCUUCCAUUAUAGGAGAUUUUUGUUUGGCAUCUAGAGGUGGUGGAUUCAUCUGGACAUUAGCUUUCUGAAAUGGCCUAAUUUGGUGCUAAGUCAAUGAGCUCAAACUAGACGUUAUAGUCUAGGUCCCCCUAAGAUUCUUGUUGGAUAAACUUUAAAUUGUAGAAAGGAAAACCCGUGAAGGCCAUUAAUGCCAAAAAAUUUGCAUUCAUUCCACUAUGUUUCAUUCCCCGUGAUCCCAUAAAUUAGCUUUCUUCAAUAAUCCACCAACCCAUCUUUGAUUCUGCCAUCAUAUUCAGUAUUCACCAACUUCAUUUCGUGCACCAUAAACAUGAUAUCCCAGUGUUACAAAAAGCCCACAUUUUCUUCCUAGCAAAUGAUCAAUUCCUCCGGAAAAUCUGUCCAUCUAUGCAACAUGGAUAAGUUUUCCUCACUCAUGGAAACUCAUCUGCUGCUCAUCUUAGUAUGCAUUCCUCUGGGCAGGUCCUUGACGGUGACCGUGCCCGAUUCCAGCUCGCCAUCAGCCCUAGUCGACGGCCCACAAACUGCAUUCACCGUGAACAACAAUGGUGCUCGGACAGAUAUCCGCGAACAAGAAGCAGUUUACGACAUCAUGCGAGCCACCGGGAAUGAUUGGGCCACCGAUAUACCGGACAUUUGUCGCGGCCGGUGGCACGGGAUCGAGUGCAUGCCGGACAAAGACAAUGUGUAUCAUGUAGUGUCCCUUUCCUUCGGUGCGUUGUCUGAUGAUACUGCAUUUCCAACUUGUGACAUAGCCAAAUCCUUCAUUUCACCUUCCAUCACAAAACUCCCACACCUGAGGACUUUGUUCUUCUAUCGCUGUCUUACUAACAAUCCUCAGCCCAUCCCAUCAUUUUUGGGCCGGUUGGGAAAAAGCCUACAGACUCUGGUCCUAAGGGAGAAUGGCCUUGUUGGGCCCAUCCCAAAUGAGUUGGGAAAUCUCACCCGUUUGAAAGUGCUUGAUCUUCACAAGAAUGAGUUAAACGGUUCGAUACCCGGUUCACUUGGCCGGAUCACCGGUCUAAGGUCGUUGGAUUUGAGUGGAAACCAACUCAGCGGUCUGAUUCCUGACCUAAGCUUCCCUCAAUUGAAUGUGCUAGACCUCAACCAAAAUCAUCUUGUCGGUUCAAUUCCCACCACUCUCAUGAAUUGUCCUUCGCUGAUAAAAUUGGACAUGAGCCGUAAUUGCCUAUCCGGUCCAAUCCCUGAGUCAAUCAGCGGUCUAGAGAACCUAAUUCUCUUAGACUUGGGCUACAAUAGUCUCGCCGGUCCACUUCCAGCGUCCCUGAAAGAAUUGAAUUUCCUUCAAGCUUUGAUACUCAACGGCAACCCGACCAUGUCCACCACAAUCCCAAGCUCCAUAUUUGAUGGUCUGAAGGACUUAGUGGUUCUAAUAUUAUCCGAAAACAAUUUGCAGGGAAUAAUACCCGAGUCACUCGGCCGGUUGAGAAAGAUUCGAGUUAUCCAUCUUGAUGGGAAUAAGUUGAAUGGUUCAAUUCCAGCGAGUUUUGGGGACCUGAAUGACCUCAGUGAGCUAAGGCUAGACAAUAAUUUGUUAAUGGGACCUGUCCCAUUUAAUAGAGACAUGGUUUGGAGGAUGAGAAGAAAAUUGAGGCUCAACAAUAACUCCGGUCUAUGUUAUGAUACGAAAAGUGGGCUUGGAGAUGAUCUUGCUGCACAAUCUGAUUCGGUCAUUGGAAUUUGUGAGGCAUCCAAAUAUGGAAUGGUAACAAAAACCGUCCGACAUAUUUCUACUAUUGAUGGAACAGAGUUGGGGCUGUUAGGUACCAAAUCAGCUGGUAGAGUUCAGAAGCCUGCAGUCGCUUGUUUCAUGCUGCUACAACUUGCGAAUUUUCUUCUGUUUGCUGUUUAUGUAAUGUGACACUUUGGAGGGGAAAGCUAGGGAGGUGUAUAAAGUUAAUACCAGCGUUAUUAAUCUAAAUGGUCAGUAUAUAUCUAAAUGUUUCUAGAAAAUAGGUUUCCACACAUUGUAGAUUCCAAAUUUGAUCCCGUAAAUAUAUUGUGAUCUUGCAUGUAAGCAAUUUUCCUCGAGGACUUAUAUUUGAACAGUGCGAACUGGGAAUUUGAAGCCAACAACCCCCUAACGUUUCAUAUCAGUUUAACAGGAAAAAGAAUUAUUCUGGACAUAGACUAAUAUUGCUUACUUUACUCUCUACAAUAUUUGUUUUACCACCGGAUUAUGGUCUCUUUCCUGAUACCUUAGGACUGUUGAAAGGUUUUGCAACGACCCAGAGCCAAAUUUUGGCGAAAAGGCAGCAAAAAUGUAUAAUCCCACGAGUUCAAUUAAGGGGGGAAGAGAGCUAUAAUUGCGGUGUUUAUUUUUUCAGCAUCUGUAUUAAUCAAAGUACUGUAUAUUUGCACUUUCAAGAUACUCUAAGUAAUAUAUGUUUUCACUUUUAUCUUUCCCACACCCUUCGUAUCUCUAACUAUCAGGUUUAAGAUUUGAAUUCUGAACCUGAGUUUGGAGAGAACCUUAAAAGUUACAAAUCAUUAGACCGACUCUAAUAAUUCUCUAUAUAUAUUUCGUCAUUCCAAAAGUUAAAUAUAAUGUAAAACACGAGCUUAGCUGUCUACUAUAAUAAACUAUCUUCUGCAGGCCGUGUCAGGCACUCAUUCUAGAAGGCCUAAACGAUGAACUGUUAAUAAUCGAUUAGCACAAAUCUGUAAUUACCUUUUCCUUUCGCAUGGAAGCUGCCAUGAAUUUUAUGGUCAUAUCAUUUACGCCCUACUCUUUUAGGGUGAUUUCUUAAAAAGAUGUAGCUCAAGAACAAAAUCUUUCAAAGGGCUCCGGAGUUACAUUGGGCCGGAUUGGAUCUCGUCACUCCCAGACCCGCUAGCCCACCAUGGACAGGGUAAGCACUUUCAACCUAGGUUGGAUGGUGUGUCGGGGCGAAAAUGGUAGGGACUCCGGAUCUUGGAUUGCUCCUGGAUCUUGAUGGGCAGACGGUUCUUAACCAUCCAAUGUUUCACACGGUGGCUCCAUCCAUCAAACAACUACUUUUUAGACUUUUCCCCCAUUUGAUUGAAGAUUUUUUACUUUUAUUACUGUACAGUAGAGGUGUGAUUCGAACGAAUUUGAACGGGUUAUAACUGGAUAUUGGGUAUAAUCAAAUCAACUCAUUUAUACCCAUUGGGUCAAAAUGAUUACACUCAUUUAAGAAAUGGGUAUGGAUAUAUCUAAUUACGCGUUUAUGACUCACUUAAAAUUCUACUUAUUUUUUCAAAUUUUUUUCACAUGUUGUUAGAGAAAAAAUAAUGACAUUUCAUUGUUAUUACAUUGAUAAGAAAUUCAAAUUUAUGUGCUGAACACCCAAUAAAAGUUGCUAAUUUUAUAUAACUUACUAUUUCAGACGAAAAACUUACCAACGAAUUUUUAGUCAUUAUCCUAUAUAGGUGGAUGAGUCCAACAAAUAAUGAAAAUGAUCGCUAAAAAUGUGAUGACCUAUAAUAUCGGGUAAAAAUCGUCUCGUUACUCUGACGAUCCUUACCGAAGCAUUUUCCCCUAGCUGUCGUCUAGUUAACAUCAAAAUAGAUCAUUUAGCCAAAUUUAGAUUGAGAUGAAUUUGUUUAUAUACGUACAUCAAUUUGUAUGAACUUUGUUGAAAAUAACAUCCAAAUCAUAUUUCUUCAUGUUAUUAAAUUAAUUGUACGUUCCGUAAGGUUAUUAUAUUUCAAGGGUUUUUGUUCUAUUUUAUCCCUCUUAAAUAUUUGAACCACGAGGAUCAGUAAAUCUGGUGAGUUUUGUUCGGCAAGUCCUGUUAAGGUAUGCACCACAUUUGUACCAAGUGCAAGUAGUUAUUUUAAUUACCACACAAAGUUAAAAAACAAACCAUUGCAACAACAACAACAAGAACCUCAUCUUGAAUCGUGUGAAGGAGAAAUGUUCACCUAGUCAUCCACUUCGACUGGUUGUGCCAAUAGGAACUUACUAACUAGUUACACAAUGGAUCAUGCAGAGUUGCACAAACAUGCGAUGUGCAGGCUGUAGCCAGCUACAUCCAAAUGAUACUUCAUUAACUAAGAAACUUGUAGUUGUACUGCAUGGUAUAUAAUUAAUGUAGUAAUUUAAUUAGUGGGAUUUGAUCAGUUUCUUCGUCCCUCUCUCUCCCUUUCCUUCUGCAAUCCUUUGCAUGCAAAGGGGUCCAUCAACGUCUCUUUCUGCUUCCACAAGAUGACAUGAACCUUAAUGAGGUUACAGAAUAAUCCCACACUAACCAACAAAACUGAAAGCUAGAGAAUCAACGCAUUUGCCACUCUCAUCGAUCCCAUAAAUUUCUCCGUACCAUUUUGCUCUUGCCCUCCAUUUUCAUCUUUUGUUUUAUUUUGAAUGAGAGCCGCACCCGGCGCCACCACCGGAUGCCGUAAUAUAACAUGCAUGGCCGGUGAUUGAAACAUGUCACAAUUUACUUGAACAGAGACAGCGAAAUAUCACCAUUGACAGAAACAUGGACAGAUGCUGAUCUAUUAUGGUCACGAAAAAUUGAAUAGAUUUACACGAAUUAACCUAAGGUGUACAAACAAUAGAGAGCUAUAUAUAUAUGCUAUUCUCUCUUCUUCUUCUUUUUUUUUAUAAUAAAGAGGAUUAACAGUAAAACUCUACCUACCUUCUGGUGAUUUGAACCCAGAAUUGGUUAUCAACAAAGUUACACUAUUGUAGUCACAUAUACUAUAUGCUAUAUGUUCAUGUUACCUGUAGAUCACUAUGUAAAUAGAAUAGGUACAUUUUUUGCGUAAUUUAUCAAAAGAUUCUGAGAAAAUGUGAUGCACACGUAAAAUGAAAUAAGUGUACAAUGGGCAGUAUAGAGGUUUACUAGAUUGUGCUUAGGCCGUCAAACAAGCUUCUAAGGCUGCAUAAGCAAACGCAUCCACAAUGGCGGGCACAGCUCACAAACAAAAAGCAGACCGAAGAGAGAGAGAGAGAGAUGGUUACCGGCCGCAAUGGCUAAGUCUAGUUCCGAUGACUGCAGAAAUGGACCACACAAACUCACACUCACAUAUAUAGUAGUAUAUAUACCAUCAGCGGCUGUAGAUUUAUCAUCUUUUUGCUGUAAUGAUACAGGCUAGACACCUUUUAGGCUGGUGUCUCUUGGCCUUUGUUUGCAAUAAUUCACAGAAAAUAGUUGCUGAGAAAUUUUUUUGGUUGAAACUGAAUUUGACCUAUCAUAUAUGUAUAUAUAUGCAUGAUAGCUACUCCCUAGGCACACUGGCUAGAUGGCAUCAUCUGUUUUUUCGUGAAAAUCUUGGGCAAAAGCUGUUAGUUAACAUGGACUUCACAAUCCCUAUACUUGGUAAUUUUGCAGUGGAAAUUCUCUCUUUUCCAUAUAUAUAUAUAUAUGUGUGUGUAGUCGCGCGCAUUUUAGGCUAAAGCUUUGUGUUACUGAGUAGGGGUGUACUCGAGCCGAGUCGAACUUGAGUAUUGCUAUACUCAAGCUCGACUCAGCCUAUAAUAUAAUUAUACUCGAGCUCGAUCGAGUCGGAGAAUCUCAACUCGAGCUUGACUCGAGGAAAUCUUUAAAAGCUCGAGACUCGACUCGAUAAGGCUCGACUUUGAGUCAAGCUUAUCGAGUUGAGUAAAUUGAUCAAUCGAGCUUUUUGAUUAAUCUUGUAAAUUCAGUAUAAAUUAUACCCAUAACGGUCAUUUUAUAAUUAUAAUACAUAUAUAUUAUUUAAAUUAUAUAUAUAUAUUGUUUAAAUUAUACUACUCAACGAGUAGCUCGUCAAGCCAUGAACUGUAAAAAUUCGAGUUCGAACUCGACUUGAAUGUAUACUCGAGUAACUUGAGACUCAGCUCGAACUCGGUUUGACCGAGUUCGAGCCAAGUCAUUGACUGAGUUGCAAGCGAGCCGAGCUAGUUACGAGAUAACAUGGCGCUUCAGAAGUUCUUUUACUUGGAUUCAUGCACAAUAUAAGUAUUUUUUUUUUCCGAUUUAGAUCACAAGGGAAGGAUGCAUUGAGGAUAAAAUGUUACAUUUAGACGCAAUGAUAAAAGGAUGCAAAUGAUAGCUUAACCAAUUAUUCGAGUUCUAGAGAUAAAAUCUUGUUCAAAUUACUUAAAAAGAAAAGAUUUUUCUAAAAUUAGUUGUUAAAUCAAGACUUUAUAAAAUUUAGUACAUGUUACCUUUUUAGUCUCACUCAAUCUUAUAGUGAUAAGUACAAAAUCUAAGUCAUAAAAGCAUCAACCUACUCAAAUUUGGCUUAAUAAUGUUCAUCUUAAAGCCUUUGCAUCUAACUAAGCCACAAACUUAAACAUUCAUUUCAAAAUUAUUUAAAAUUAGAACUAAACUUCAACAUAAAUAGGAUUUUUUCCCUAAUGGUAGCAAUAUUAGCGCAUCACUUUUGUUACUGACGCUCCACAAUUUUUUACAUGUUAAAAAAUGGUCAAGAAUAUGUCAUUCUUAUAUGUCAUCAUUUGAGAACUGACUUAUACAUAUUUUCUUAAAAUUAAAGGAAUUUGAAAAAUAUAAUAAUGUAUGUAUCACUAGGAUUCCAUUUGGUGUUGCAGUACUUUUGGCGAAAAGAUGGCGGUCAUUAUUUGUUAGAUUUAGGAGUAGAAUUUUUUAUCUUUAAAGCACUUCUAACAUAAAUUCAAAAUUAGUGCUUUUAGAAUACAUUUUAUAUUUUUACAAAUAAAAAUAACUUUCAACCAUUUUAUCAUAACUUUGAAUUGAAUAAAGAGAUAAGUAUAUUUCAAACACUUAAAACUAAACAUUGUGAAACACAAACUACACUCUUGUAAGUAUGUAUCCAAAAUAUAAUUAAGCUAAUGAUACCUAAUUAAUCAAAUGCUACAAACAAGUGAAUCUAACGUCCCCCAAAUAACAAUAGCUGAAUCUUGUUCCAUGAAUUCUUUUGGGUUGAAAAGUAAAAGAAAAACAAAUUGUCUACAAAUUCUUAUCUCUCAAAGAUUUUGAGGGUUAUUAUAAACAUAUUGUAUCGUCUGGCAUAUGCAAAAAAAAUAUCAACAAAUUAAGAAGCCAUGAAUUAAAAAUUACAAGUCUUUUGAUGUAUGAUCAGAUACAUACAAGAAAUAAAUAUUUCGAUAAAAUUUUCUUUUUAAAGUGAAUUAGCAUUGUGUAGUUGCAAAUUUUUUACUGCAGUGGCAUGUCAACUUCUCAUUACAAAAGAUGAAAGGCCUACGGACAGCCCUUUUUGCCUAUUGUGAACUGAGCUGCAGGCUACAACAAGGACACCAAAAGUUUUUAGAAAGAAUGGAACCUUUAAGUUUUGGUGAUCGAUCAGGGAAACUUUUUAUUUUUUUAUUUUUUGCCACAACACAGAGUCUAAAUAUUAAGCCAAAUUAAUUUCUUCCUCACAAAAGCAUAUUUCGGCUUAAUUUCGCUGUUAAAUCAAGACAAAGCAAAACAGCCUUAGCCUAAUUCACUAAAUAACUAUUCUAUGAUGCCGUGGUCUUUUUUUUUUUUUCAUAUCUAUCUCAUAGUCAUAGUCUUGCCAAAUGUGUAUUUUGGUAAAUCAGAACGAAAAAGAAUACAACAAAAUUAUCUUAGUGGAGAUAAUAAUCUGUAUAUCCUUUGGGAUCUUGCUGAAAUUUCUGUUUACUAGAACCCGGUUGAAAAUCGAAAAGACAAAAAAAAAAAAAAAAAAAAAUUUUGGUCAUGGAAACCUAGAAUGACAAAAGGAAGAAAAAGAAAUGAAAGAAGAAAAGAAUUUAGUUCACUUAUUGCAGUUGAGAAACCAAACCAAACCAAAAAAGAAAAAGAAAAGAAAACCCACUGUUGAAUUGUACUAACGGUAGCCUUAGCAAAAUUAUAAGCUUUGAUACAUACAAAGGCCAUAGAAAACUAUGCACUAAAAUAUUCAUGAUUCAGCUACAACUAAAAGAUGUACCGAUUCCCCUAGCUAGGCUUGACAACACAGUGCAGCUUCCUCCUCAAUAAUUCUAAGUAUGUGAUGAACUGCACCAGCUAUGUCAUCUGCUGAAUUUAGUAAACAGCCUUCUUCCACCUGUAACAUGACAAAUCCCAAAAUUUAGCCCCCCAAAAAACCCUCUCAUUAUUUUGCCUAAAUUGUAAAAAUACAAAAGUAAGUCACUCAGAAGUGUAAAAAUUUGAGGAUACCAUUUCUUAUGAUCAUCAAUGACCCCUAACAUAUCCCUUCUAAAAUAGGCUAGAGUAAGAGUAGGGGCAGGUGUAGAGUAGACAAAUAUCAGUCGACCCAAAAAAAAAAAAAAAAAGACCCCAACCUAACAUAUACCGCUGGAUAAAAGACCACUGGAAUGCCCAAUAUACCCAUUGCACUAAGUUUAACCUGUCUAUUCUAUAGAACCCAAUGGUCCAUGAUUUCUUCGAAUAGUAACUGCAGCAUGUGUAAACUUUAAAGUGGCAGCUAGCAUUCUCUAGUCAUUUUCUGCAAGAAAUGUUUGUCAAUAUCCAUCAAUGUAACAUAUCUGAAAUAGAUGCAAUUUUAUUUCAGGACUCACUCUUCAGAAUUAGGUAAGGGUCGAUAACGGUGUCCUGGACAGCAACACUAGCACGUUACCAACCAUUGCCUCAAAUGCAUAAGAAUAGACAAGUACUAGAUGUUAAGGUACCUUAGCACUGAUGGAGUAUAGGACCAAAGGGUCCAAAGUUGUGAUAUUUAGGUGAAGGAUGGUGAGGUACAGCGUCUGUAGGCCAGUAACCAUUUUGGAGAGCUGUCUAACUCUUCUUCUUGAAAGGAUUCUAACGUUUGCAUGAGUUUCAAUCAAAGUGACUUCAAUAUCUGCAAUUGCUGCCUUGCUCUUGGAUGUGUACUUGUUUGGCAAUUGGGCUGAGCAUGUGUAUUGAGGGUAAGCGAAAAAUUGAGCAAAUGGGGUUGGAGCUGGAGGAAAACACUUGUUCCCGGUGGCCGUGGCAAUGGCUGCGGCCAUGGUGGUGGUGGUCUUGUCAUUUGCUCCUCCAUGUUGCUGUAAUAGCAAGAACCUUUGUGCUUCAAGGGAUUGCAAGUGAUGCUCAAGCUCCUUCACAAAUUCUAUAGCACCACCAACUAUAGAGGCCUGGUCACCCUGCAAAAACCAAUCUUUUCUUAUAUUUAAUCUCGUGAUUAUUAAAGUGAAUAAAUUGAAUCUUUUAAAGUAGCAUGAACAGCCAUAAAAAAAAAAAAAAAAAGGUGGCAUGCACAAAACAGUGAAAAUUCUUAUUUCGAGAUUUGAAAGAAGCUUACAUCCAUCAUUUUUAUUGUGUACCAUCUUAACUUUUACCUGGACAAGAAAAGUACAUACAAGAAUGGACAAAAUUUAAAAAAAAAAAAAAAAUCUAAUGACAACCAAACGACCAUAGCUGCCAGGAUUGCCAUUUUCAAAUCAUUGAAAAUCAGCCACAAAAUUUGGCUUCUUCAAGUAUCAGAGACACCUGCUUAAGAACCUGUCUUAUUCUACAUUGCAAAUACAUGAAUGUUGAACCCCGUGCUGGAACGGGAAUCUUCACAGACACAAAAACAAGAACGAGAAAGAAUAUUUUGUUUUGUAGCAAUCAUGCUGGUAAUGAGAACGGGCUAGUACUCAGAAGGUCAACAGAAAAAAGCAUAACCUGUCAAGAAACAAUAAAUGCAUGCCUCAAUUAGAAAUUGCAAAUUAAAAUUAAACCUCACCAAUUAAUUGACUACUAUUCAAAUGGCAAAACAAAACCAAAAAAAAAAAAACGGACUAAGGGAAUCUCAUCUCAUCUUAAAUUUGAUUAAUAAAAUCAAUUGCCUCGUCAAAAGAGAUUCCAAUUCCCAAUUUAUAAACCUUACAAACCCUAAAAAAAAAAUUUAUUUAGAGAAGAACGAAGAAGAAAAAAAAAUUUAUACCCUUUGAACAUAGGAUUCUGGCAUGAGAGCACGCAAGACAGCAAGAUGUUCAUUCAUUUGUUUACGACGGUUUCUUUCAACAGCAAUGUGAGUCAUCCUUUGGGUCUCAGCUUCCUCUUUAUUCUUGCAAACUCUUUGCCUUCUCCUCCUCUUCUUCCUGCCUUGCACCGCCAAACUAUUCUGCUGCCUUUGCGACUGCACGGGAGGCGGCGGAGGCGGCAUGCAAGAACAAUUUUCUAAACCCCCACCAGCUUCGGCACCCCCACAAUUAUCAGUUUUCAGCCCUCCAUUGUCCAGCAAGAAGUUGGUAGAAUUCUCAUGACAAGAAUUAUUGCUGUCAUUGCUGCUGAAAGGGGUGGCGGAAAUGGUGUCAUAGAUGAUGAAAUUCAGGAGUUCAUUGGAGGAAAGAGCUUCUAGAGCCAUCAUCCCUCUUCUGCACUCGACCCAACUGUUGCUUUUGUGGGCAGAUGAUGAAAAGAUUACUCGAACCCUCGAGUCUCCCAAUACUUCUCCUACUGUUAAUACUACUAUUUUGACUACUGGAGUUGUUGUUAUUAUUAAAAAGACAUCAUAUCAUUCCAUUUUAUAGCAAAAGCAAAAACCCUCUAUUAUGUUACUAUGACUUAUGACUUGUACUGUUGAGAGUUGAGAGAGAGAUUCAGAGGAGACUUCCUUUUUCCUUUACACUAACUUUUUGGGAUGCAGAGAAAAGCUCAAAAAGCACACACAAGACUUGAGCAGUAACCUCUCACGUGCAUGUAUGAGACUAUUUGUAAUGGAUGAAUCCUUCCUUGCUUUAUCAUUCUACUCUUUUUUUUUUUUCCUUUGGUUACUGUUUAUUUACUUGGUUUUUGUUUUAUAACUCUAGAAGGAUAGAUAGAAAAGUUAGGAGACAAACACAAUUAGACACGUAUACAAUACGAUCAUACGCCACUUAUAAAAUUUAAUCGCACAGAUUGUUCACUGAUACAGUUGUUACAUCGAUAGCAGAAUUCAGAAAUACACUUCAAACUUUUUUAUUUGUCGAAAAAAAAAACAAAUUACACAAUAGUUGAGGAAAAUGGUUUUUUGUUUUGGUUUCCAAUUUUUUCAUGGAUGCUGUCAAAACAUACUGCCAAGGUGUCUGCAAGUGAGGAGUGUGAGCGUGGGGGGACCCAAAUCUAUGUAGAAAUAUGCAUAAAAACAAGAGAACAAGCUGUGCAAAAGCUACCCUUCACGUUCAACAUUUUUUAUUUCGGUUUGGGUUGGGAUUUGCAAGAAACGACUGGUGCACCGCUCGCGCCACACUCAGACACUCUAGAAAAUUGAGUAUUAUGUGAUUCCGUCUGUGAAGAACUGGCUAAUUGCAGUUCUAGUCCACUCUCCUUUUGUUUUGUGUUUCAGCCUAGUCCCAUUUUUAUUCGGUAUUAUUGGAUUUAGUCCCCUAUUUCUUUUUUAUUUGUUUUAAUUAAUGAGUCCUAGUAUGAGCACUUGAAAAGUGCUUAACCAAAGAGUGUUGAUAUUAGGUUGAUAUUAAAUGAAACUCUGCUAGAAAGAAAUUCAGAUUAACAAUGAGAUACUAGCAUUUUACCUACAUUUUGUGUAUGGGCAUGGCAGCUUUAACAUGUAAGGUAAAGACUCAAUAUCACUAGCAAUUUUUUUUUUUUUCUGACGGAGUGGGUAUCCAGGUCAAUCCUUACGGGGUCUGACUAAUCCCACUCCGGCCCGGAGAGGAGGCCCCACUCCACUCGAGCACGGUGACAAGGGGACUUGAACCCUGGUUGCCCAGGUAAGUCCGCCAUACCCUAAAGAGGGGGAGCGGGACCGCUCAAGCUAACCCUUGGAGGCCAAUAUCACUAGCAACUAGAGAGAAGGAAAAGUGGUACGAUAUAUUACAUUAUUAAAACAUUGAUCAGUCAAGAACAACAUUUGCCCAAAAAAAAUGGAUUGACUCUGAUGUCCGAUCAUUAAGAGCUUUUUGAAGUUAAAAAAAAAAGUUAAGUUGAAAUCUUAACGGUUACAGCAGUAAAAACUAUAAUUUACAUUUUUUUGAUGUAUAAUAAAAAUUCAUAAGUACACACUUUAAACAAAGAAUAAUUGUAUCGAGCACUAUCACGAGUCAGUUAUUCCAAGCAAUUGCCACUUAAUAUAUACUUGUUUGUUCCUCAAAUAUAAAGAGCUAGAUUACCACUUGUGCCUCAACUUUAGCUAAAAUUGUAGAGGAUUAAAUGUAAAAGACCAAAUGCUCAGGGACUCAAGUGAGAUUGAGUGCAAAUAUAAUGAUUAAAGAUGUAAUUUUCCGGAUACUACAAAAAGUACUGCAAAGUAUGUGUCUAAAAAAAUGUUUGGGCAGAUUACAUUCACCACCGAUCGAUAGUCAACAAAGUAAUGCUUAAACAAUUCAACCUUAUCAUUGAGAGCCAUUUCUAUGCUUCAUAUAUAUUAUCAGAUUCAGAUGGUGAAUGUUAUCUACUUUGAAGAAGAGGGGAUUGCAACAUAAUGGAUAACACACAAAGCCUAUCACUCCAUCAAUAUCCCUUUUGAAGGGAGGUGCCCCUCCACACCCAUUUCCACCGUUUUGUUCUUUUGGGAGGUUCUUGGAAAGGGCUUUAGCUCUUGACUCGAAACGUGGACAUCGACACAGGAAGGGCAAUGUUACGUCCAUUCUUUGACCUGUUACUAACAAACAUGGGAAAGGAACAAGUGGAAGUACUGCAAUAGAGAAAACUUCAACGAUUAUAGGGAAGUUAGAUUUUUUUUUUCUUUUUAUCUUUUUGGUUGCCAAUAAUUUGUUGAUAGAGGAUAUGAAAACAAAAUUUAACCCACUGGGUAAUAAAGUGAAGAAGAUCAUUAAUGACAUUAAGAACUACACCGGGCACACAUUCGAUUUUACCAUCAUUUCUGCCAAGAAUCUUCCAGUCUGCACCAUACAACAAACUUCCAAACUAUGCAUGAUUACUGAUUUGAAGUUUCGUGCUUGAUGAUUGAUGUACAAGGAGAGGCAUUUAUGGUCGAUUCUGUGCGCCUUAUCUUCAAUAACAUCGCCUUAAAAAGAAAUUCGUGAAGGCUUGUUUCAAUUACAAAGAAACAAAAGUCAUAAUUUACGAGGAUAAAAUUAGCUACAAACAGAUGAUACGUGAAGUACUACUACUUCGUAGCGGAUUCUAAAGGGUUAAAUUCUUGCAAAAAGUUGAAGGGUCAAAUUUUAUAACUGAACGUGUUCUCUAGAGAGACGAGAAACAUUGCCAUUGUUUUGGUUCCCUCUAACAAGAUGCUUUCGUCGACCUAUGGAGAUGUGCAGUCCUCAGUUUGGUCCCAAACAUGCAAAUUGACGAGCCUACAUACGUAUAUAUUUAUUUGGUUGGAGAGAAAUUUCAAACCCUACAAGAGCAAAAGGAAAAGAUGGAAUUUUGAAAUCGAAACAUAAACCUCGCGGUCACCUGACUAAUGUGUCAAUCAACGGAACUGGAUCUUGAGAUAACUGCGAUUUAUUUGCAUGAAUAUCAUGUGGGUUAUGGUGCCAAGUACUUUGCUAGGGUAAUACUAAAGCGACCAGCACACUAUGCACAUAGCAUUAAACGAGAACAAGAAUUGUCAUAACAAGAAAAACUAGUUAACCAUUAACCUGAUGUCCAGAUCCUAGAACGCAAUCAUAGGCUCUUAGCUAUUGAUACUUGCGGACUAUUGUAUCUACUCAAUCAUUUAAGAAUGCUCAAGAAAAUAUUGGGUUUUGGGUACCCAACCAUCUGAACAAGCUUGGUUCAAGCUGCUGAGCUUUCUCUUUUACGUUUAAUUUUCCUUUUCGGACCAAUCACGAAGCAUGACACACUGGAAGUCCGCUGUUUUGGUUGCCCAGUUUGGGUUGCAUUUUCUGUAGAAAGAAGGACACUAUAACUUUUUUUUUUUUUGGAGAUAUGAUGUAUAUUAGGUAAAAAAAUGAUUGAGAAUUAUGUUGGAAAAAAAUAUUUCCAAAAAACUCCGUCAAAGAUUCUUUUUUUCUUUCACAAAACAUGCAAUCCAAUCUUUUGUGGAUGAAGAAAGUAAAUGUCCAUCCAAAUGCAGCAAUAUUUUUCCCGAGUCUGGUUAAACCGUCAUGUGUUUUAUUAAGGAUGAUAGAAUUUUCACCCAUCAAAGCAACCCCAACAGGGUUCUCAAAUCCAAAUUCGAAAAGUAGGCCUUUGAAUUUAUCUAUUUUAGUUGCCUUUUAACAGUUAGAUCCCAAUAUCAAUGGCGUUUACCUUUCACUUCUUAUUUUAAUCAAUCCAUAUGUUUUCCUGCAGACAAUAUGUAGAUGUCAUUUUAUAAAAUUUGAGAGAUAAAAGGUAUUUCGACAGUCUCAUUUUAGGGAUCAUUUUGUUAAGCAAACUCAAAAAAACAGGUGGGAUAUGUACAUUUUAAUUAAAAGAGAUCUACAAUCAAAAUCAGUUUAUGUGCAUUUUGACAACGUGGUUUCUGCAUCUUUCAAAUGCUUAUAACUUUGUAACCAAUAAAGUAGUUGGCCACCAAUAAAGUCUUAAAGUUCUACUUCAAUGUAGGUCAAGGAAUAUAUUCUAAAUCCAAGAUUUUCUGAAAAAAUUUCGCCAACGGAUGGAUAGACACUCGUUUGGAACGAUAAUGACUUAGUUCUCCCAAGUUCCUCCCUCGACCCCUUUGAAUCCCCUCUCUCCCUAGUAUAGAGCAGUGGUAGGUAUAAAUCCAAGAUUUACUAGAAAAAUUUCACCAGCUAAUACGUAAGCACCCGUCAGGACUGGUGUUAGUUCAAUCCUCUUGGAUUUUCCCUUGACCUCUUUGGAUCCCCACAUCCCCUAGUAUAGAGUAGGAGUAGAUAUAGAUUAGAAUUUAUCGUGUCCGGCAAAACAAAAAAAAAAGUUGAUAACUUCAUAGUUCCAAAUAAAAUGGAUCUAAUGUAUGCCCAUAAACAUUCACGCAAAGGAUAAAAAAAGUAAUUAGACAGCUCCAAGUCAGGACUAGAUCUCCACAUGCAAGAAAGAUUUUUAUAAUUCCGGUGAAAUCACAUCAUAUUACCAAAUUAAGUAGAAUUCCAACCAGUGAAUUGUACAAGAAACGAACACAAGAACAUAAAGCAAAUUUGCAGCAAUCAACCCAAAAAGUUCUUAGUUACAUCUCAUCAGACCUGAUCAAAAAGUUAAUCAAAGCCGAAGUUGCCCAAAUGGACUCAACCGGACAGAGCAAAUAAACAAUGUUGUCAGUAUGAGAAGGGAAACAAAGCAAAAACACUGGGAACUGUAGCCUUAUCUGGAGAUGAGGGCUGAUGAGUGAUGAGAGAGAGAGAGAGGUUUGCGAGGACCACGGUCCAACCUGUCAGAGGCUCUGCAGGGGAAUCCAUGUGACGACCAGCCACCUCUUGGAAAGUACAUAUUUACCAAUCAUCCACAAAUAUAUAUUCACAUUGAAGUUAAAACUCUCUUUAAAAUUUGCUUUUGACCCAAGAAUGGAAGGGAAGGAAUACAUAUUGGCCAAUGCCUUUUUAGGCUUCAGCUCAGCCUUUAGUGUCCUUUUACUUUUUACUCUACUACUGUCUAGUAGUAGUACACUGUAGUACUGCUUAAUGGCUUUGUGGGUACGGAUAAAAUGCAAUCUAGCAUAGUAGCCAUGCACAAACAAUAAUGUUAGGAGAGAAAAGAACGUACAACCCAAACUCUAUGAGUUGUACGUGUACACAAACUCCUUAUAGGCAAAUGAUACUUGAGCUUAUGCAAUAGGCAAUUCAACAAGCAGAGAUGCAUGUGAACUUCAUUGUGUGGGCAACUUCGUUGAUGGGUUGGACACAAUUGUCUCAACCAGGUACUGAAACCCCCAAAGAUUUGAAGUCCAUUCAAGUCAAAGGGAACUCCUUGAGAAGCAAAUUUUUGUAGAACAUAAUUGUGACUGCCUCGUGGAUAUGAAAGUUACAUGGUAGAGAUAAAAUAAGCAAACUACAAGUUUAAAAGUUCAAUUGUGGCCCAAAAAGCAGUUAGGAUUCAAUUGGCAAAGCGGAAGCAAGGUCCGCUACCAAAAUUUCAACUUGACGCCAAAGAAGUAUGCACAUCCAACGAAAGCACAUAAAGUAAAUUGAUAAAGAAGCAGGAUGGCAAGGGCAGUGGCUGGUGAAACAAAGAGCGUGUCAAUGGACAAGUUCACUAACCCCGUCAGCACAUUAGCCUGCACCAUAAAGGCAAAUUUCAUUCCCUUGCGUCCAGUGGAACUCUAGAAACGCACCAGAUAUCUAAUAUCAAAAGAAAAUUGAAAUUAGGAAGCUUUUGCUCACCAGAAGAAAAGAUGCCAAUAGGUUUCGGUUAAAUGCUUCUUCCAGAAUGGAAAUUCUAUUUCCAGGUAUAUAAUCAGAAAGUGUUAAUAUGGCUAGUACCUGAAAGUUUGUAACAAACAUCAUUAAAAUAUAUCUUGUUCAAGGAGAGAUGCAAUAAGGAGCCUUUAAGAUGCCAAACAAGAUAUAAAAAUUUGAAAGCAGAAGUACAGCAACAGACAUAUCUGUACACGUGUGUAUGGGCACACACACACACACACAAAACGCGGAAAAUGUCUACAACAAACAAGUGAUUCUAACCAUUUCCAAUUCCCUUCCGCUACCCCCACACUUCUUCCGUCCUACACUUCUAAGAACAAAAAAUGCUCAUGCAGUCCUCAAAAAUAACAAAAAUGUCUAUCUAAAGAACGUUAUGGCCAAAUAAAAACAACCUGCAAGCUCCACAGAAAUCAAUAGCAUGUCAUUCUAACGUGAUUCAUUAUAAGGAAAAAUCGAUUGUCCAGAUUAUGUAAGUAUAGUGAAUUCGGAGUUGAGGUGGUCCAAAUCAAAGGAUUCCAAUAUGUAUACAAGAAAAAGAAGCUACUCCACAUCGAGCAAUUGCCCAUCAAUUGGCUUAAUUAAUCUAAUGAGAUUAUCAAAUAAUGAUGAAACAAAACCUAAUUUGACUUGAAGGUCAAUAACACAGUUUCCAGUUUGACAACCUCGACUUGUCAUGACUCAACAGAAAUAUAUAUUCCAGGCCCUCAUUUGCUCACUACAAGUAUCCCUCCAGCCCGCCAUACUGUAACUUACUACCUCAGCAAAAUACUAUUCAAAUAGUCAACCAAUAUCUCCAAACCUAAUUCAGUCACAGCAUUGAUUGCUCUUAUAUAUCAAAUAGCCAUGAGAACACUACAAUUAACUUAUUUUAAUAUUUUAUUACAUGUUUAGCUGAAAGUACCUUGCCUAUUAGUUUUGCUGCAGUACAUAUCCAAUCUGAACACAAUUUAAUGUUGUUUAUUACUAAGGGCAAAUGGAUAUACAUCCAAUGUCUAGGUGAUCCAACUCAAGCAUCACAUAAUCAAUGUUUGAGGUUGCAAGCAUAUCAUGGCUUGACAGACCAAAAUGGCAAGCGCAGAGCAGGAACACGGUAUUGAAGGAAGUGGAGCCUCUUUGAAGGAUCACAGGAAGCGAUAGGUUUUUGAAAAGUUCAGGAUGUCGGAUUGACUAAUAGCACAGGCAAACUUGAGGAGCUCAAAUAAAAGAAAAUGAGUACCUUCAACAAUUAUCUCAAAGCACCUUCCACACUCUCAUGAUUUUGCAUAUAGAACUUCUAUGUUCCAUUUGCAACUCAUAUAUGAACCCUAUUAUCUCCAGAACAAUCUCACAUUUGCAAAGCAAGGGCAUCUCACUCCUGUAUCCUCACACAACACAAUCAUGAUUUCCUCUCUCCAUACAGUCUUCACCCUUUCCUUACCCUUGCCAACUCUUUACAACACCCAGGAAUGCAACAGAUGAAAGCAUUACUUACCACUGGUAGGAACAUUCACUCCAGGUUUGCUGUGGUUCUUCUCAUAAAUUUUCCUUUUACAGUUUAGAGUUUUACCGCAUAAUCCACGUAGAAUUUAUAAGUAAUUAACAAUGGUUAAGUCCCUAAGCCUUUUCCAGAGCCACUAACAUAUUCUGAAACUUUACAUUUUAUAACCUUGAGGCUACCUGUAUGAUCUUUUGUAUCAAAGAUAAAAACUAUGCUGUGAAUUACCAUAAACUUAUAUUGACCAAAAACUUUGGGCACAUGACAAAUAUCAGCAAUUCAACUGGCUGAAACAGCAGACCCUAUGGUUGAUCAUGCAUAUGACAGGCCAAUAAAAAUUGGUCAUCUAAGUAUUUAAACAAACUGGCUACUCAUGACUCAUCUAUCGUUUGAAAAGAUCAUGAAAAUGAAAUUUACCUGUAGAUUUAGAGCCAAUACCAAAGUGACAUAUGCCAGGUUGCACUGCAGAAAAUUCUCAUCAUUUUCUUAAAAAUGAAUGCACAAAGCAAGUUCCAUUUUCAAAAAUUACUGAAUAUAAAUCAACUUAAAUUGCUAUUAGUUAAAGAGCUCUUAAAAUCUUAGAUAAUAACAGCAGCAAGAUGUCUUACCAUUCUGCGAGAUACUCUCUCCACAUGCCAAUCUAGAUAUAAAGUCAACAACCUACAAUUUCAAGAGGGAUAGAAACUGCCUAGUUAUCGAAACAACCAUAGCAUGGGUUGAUGGAUUUUAUGAGACAACUAGGUUCAGAAAUCGAAGUAUACCAGAAGAAAAUACAAAGCACCCAAACUGUAAUGCUUCCCCCCUUAUCGGCACUUCUCAUAACCUCGCCAUGAUUCCCAAAUAAAAGAAGGCUGCCCAAUUGUACACCAACAAGAUAUAUGCCCCAAUAUCCUGACAAGCAAACCAAUCAAUUCAGUAAAAUAUGAAUAUGCAUGAGUGCAUGUUGCAAGUACUAGUGCUCAUUAAAAAGUAAUGAUAAUAGACUUCAUAUAGCCAUUGAACUUGCUCUAUGCAAUUGAAUGAUUACUUCAAAUCAUGUUAUAUAAUUUAUUGUCAUCUUGAAUCAAACUAUUCAGCAACAAAGCAUUAUUGGCUGCAGAUAAAAAGAUUGACAUCAAAGUUUCCAGUUAAUAAUGUAGAUAAAUUCCCGUUGCUGCCUCAAGUGGCACAAAGUCAUUGUUUAAUUUAUUUUAAUCUGCAUCAAAUAUUGCCACCUUCCUAAUUUAUCAUCCACUCACUGUUUCAAAAUUAUCACAUCAAUUUACCUUUCAUAGCUUGGUAUCUUAUCCAUAAAUGUACUUCAACAAGUGAAUGUUACAUGCAAACUAUAUUUAUCAGUCCUCAUUUAGUUGCAAUAAAUUCUGUAAUUUGCCAUUAGAUGCAAUGACAUUCUUCACGAUGCUGCUUAAGAACUUGCUGCCAUGCAUCAAAUAUUGAUGAUAACAGAUUUGAUUGUUAUAUUUAACAGAUCAGGAUCAACUACAAAAUAUGCAUAGGAAUGGUACUAUAUUUGCCUGGUAGAAUGCAUUAUCCAUUCAGUUUAGAACUGGGGAUAUAGAACAUGUAUAAACAUGUCAUUUCUUCCUCCAUCAUACUUUUUGCUACAUAUUCGAAGAGAAAACUCUGAAUAAAAGCAAUUUGAGAAUGAUUCUCCUCACUCCCAGUUUGUAUUCCGAUGAUUUACAAAUGUCAGUACUUUAGGUAUUCCUUCUUUAUUUCUUACAGUGAUUGUGCAAUCAAAUGUAAUAAACAGAAGUUAAGAAAAAUGGCAAGCCCAAUGGUCAAAAACAGAGAUAAUAAGGAAUAACACACAUAAAGAUGGUAGAAAAUAUAUACAGCAUAAGUUUCACAGUUUCUCACCAAUCAUGCUGAAUAUCCCUUCCUUGUUUUGACUAAUAAUGUCUGCCCCUCUUUUAUCAGAGAGCAAGUAAUCGUUUAGCCCAUGUGACAGAAAGAAUUGAUAUCCUACAAUAACAUAAUAAUUCAGCUCAAUGUCAACAAAAAAGCCAAUAAUCUUCUUGAGUAAAAUGUAAAAGAACUGCAAGUGAGAAAUAUGAAUCUUACCCACUAAAACAAAGAAACCCAGAAGCCCACAGUAUCUUGAAGGAACAUUUAUCACCGAUGUCAGGAUUGACACACCAGCAAGCGUAAAAAAGAAAUUCCAGUGCACUCCAUAUUCCCCGACAUGAACCUGCAAGGAGAAAGAUAAAAAUGUUCUUCUACAUCAUCUAUAUUAGAUAUCAAUCAUGGAUAGAAAACCUCAGAAUACAAGGAUAAAGUAGAGCUAAUAAUAUGACAAUGAGCAACUAUAACUAUCCCACUCACAGUAAAAAGGGGAUGUCAAAUACAAGCUGACAAUGAGCACUCUCUAACCCAGUUCCAGACCCCCCUAUCCCAGUUGCCACAGCAAUUAGACAUUCAAAAAUAAAUACACAACCAAAACCAGCUAAAGGCCACAAAGUUGCAUCAGAGCUCAGAAGCCACCAAAAAUUUUCAAUUCUUUGAUUACUAAUUUGCUGCUUUUGUGGGUAACAUACCCUGAAAUACAGUUAGACAAGCAUUUAAAUGUACCAUAGAGGAUAGAUUUAAAGAACAAAGCAUUCAACCUGAUAAUCAACGCCAGAGGUAAAAAACAGUCGGGCAAAUCCAAGAAGAAUUAGAGGACUACAUGAGCGGAUUGUACUUCUGAGUGUCCUGAAAUCAAAUAUCAGCUCUAAUUAACAAGCACAAAACAAAAGGGAAAACAUGGAUUUUUUUCUCUGAAACAAAAAAAAAAAACAAAAUUUCAACCGCAUUUGAGCUGAAAGAAGCAUGAUUUUCAGUGUGUUGAAACAGUAAUUACAAACAUUUGACAGUAAGCUGUAAGUUGCACAAACACGACAGAACAACAACAGCAAAUAGAGAACACAAUCAAUCAUGGACUGAAAUAAGCUUGCAGAAUUCAUGCAUAUGCACGAUUCAAUUCUGUUCCAUACGAAGCAUGCAAGGUAUGACACUAUCAUACAGCCAUUUCAAAAAAAUAGCUAAAGUGAGCAUAUAUUACUGGUCAAUUUUGAAACCCUUGCCAUGCAAAACCAAAGAACAUAGUAUUUCAAAUGUAUUGUAAGUAGAUAGUCCAAAAUCAAUGGCUAGUCUCCGUCUAAAAGAAAAUUAAGCAUUUAGACAAUGAAAGCACAAACAACCACUUACACUAUUGAAUUGCCUCGUGCCUGUUGUGAAACCAGGGAAUUGACUAAAACAAAUGAGCCCACCCCAAGAUCCAUCUAAUAGACAGGAAAAAGAAAAGAAAAGAGGAAUUUUAGUCAGGCACUUAUCUUUAAAGAUAUCUAUCAAAGAGAAGAGUGUAGGUAGCUCAAGAAUCUUACCAAACCAGUGCCAUAGGUCUCUGUUUUAGCAUAUUUUCUAGGAAAUAUUUUGAAGUCAACAGCCAAAAUACACAAGCACGUGGCAAGCAUCUGCAGCAAUUACCCUUGUAGCCAAAAUUGGAAAUUUCAAGGAAAAAUAAUGCAACCUUAACAGACAAAGGGAAAAAACCACAAUGUAUUUAAUCAUAAGACAAGGUGCAUACCAUAGCAACCCGGUAAGAUGAGAUGUUUGCCCUAAAAGAAAAGACACCACUUUCCUGAAAAGAAGAAGAUCUAAAUCUGUAUGGAGGAUUAAUACGUUUCUAAUGUAAUAAUUUGCAUAGACUAAAUUAUUCCAAAUGAACUGUAAAGUACAUGUAUCCAGAUAUUUUGGUGUUAUGCAGGUAAAUAACGCAUAACCAAAUUCACAAACGUAGAUAAAACACAAAAAAUUCUAUGGAUAUGCAUUCACCUUCUAGCUGAAAAAGAGAUAAGCAGCAACAAGAUCAGCGAAGUUGCAAUCAAAUAUAUCCAUUCAGACAAAACCUAUAACAAACAGAUGUCAGCAACAAUUACAAUAACUUUGUGUGCAAAAGCCAUGGAAAGAAAGAUAAAGGAUCUACAUAUGCUGGAAAAGAAAUUUGAAGUCCAGGCAAUUAAGCUGCCUAUUUAAUACUAGUUGACAACCAACCAUCCAUCAGUCAACAACCUCAUUGAGUAAACCAUUUUCAAAAAUAUCUGACAAAACCUUCACUCAAGUACCUGAGGACCUCAAACUUGUUGCAACUCUAAAAGAAUUAACAAAGAAUGAACCCAUCUUUCCAAAGGAUUGACAUGUAUAGUGUGGCAUUUAAGGCCCCUACCCAAAAUGCUGCCCCGCGAAAGCAGCACAUAAGGACGUGUAUUCCUUAUGUGUAUGUGGAGAAGAAAGUGAGGGUUUCAAUACAGCUAGUUGUUCCUAAUGAAUCCCCUGGUUCCACAUCCACCAUUAUUUGCAAAUACAUUACAUUCAAACAAAACGGCUGAAAAAUAAACUAGAAUUAACAUAUUUCCAUAUAGCCAGGACAAAGCACUUACAGUAAGAAAUAAAGUAAAUGGGGCAAGGAUGAAGAAGAAAUCUACAACCAUCACAGCAACAAAAGCCCUCAGGCUCUUAUAUCCAACAACUUCAUCAUUUUUCUUCAUAGAGGCUUCUGUGGCAUUAUGACCUAAAUAAACAAGAGAUCCUGAUCAAUAAACAGAUAGCAUGCUAAUAAUAGCGCCCUGCAUCCCUGAGAUCAUCAAGCAAAAGUUCCAUUCUAUAUGCAUAAAAUUAAAAUGCAACAAAACAAACACACAACACGAAUGAGAAACUAAAAUUAAUAAUUGCUAUUUCGACAUAAUGCAUCCCGAUCCCAUAGCCAAAUAACCCAUUAAACAUGCUUCUUUUAAAAUUCAUAAUCAAUCAAAGCAAAAAUUUUAUAAACUAAGGCCUCAAGAAUUGUUCUUCCCUCCAAGUCAUAAGAUGCAAUGCAUAUAGACUUCUCAAAGGAUUUGGAAGCUGUAAUCCACUUUAAUUUUAAACACCCAACCAAAUGGAACCUGCCAACCUUAGUUUCUUCUCCAACUACACUUAAAACAUCAUCUAAAGCAGAAUGACAAAUAAACUCUGCGCACCAGCACGUAAUCCAUUUUUGUUCAGACAUACAGACAAUUGCUGCAAUAAUUUCACUUCAUGAAAUCAAGGCAAUGGAAACUAGCUAGUUUGUGAGUUGAGGAUAGAAAAGAAAAGAAGAGAAAUGAUAAGUUAUGUGAGAAAAGAAAGGAUAAAAAAAAAAUUUGUAAGCUUCCAUCAGUUUUCCUUCGCUUUCCGCCCGUUUUGGUCAGAAAAUUUUUGCACUGUAGCAGCGCUUAGCUUCUCUUCAAGAUCCGUUCGUUUCUUUUCUUUUCCGUCUCACUAAAAUCUUCCAAACGUGAAAAGUUCACCUUUCCCUUCCUUUCUUUUCUAUUCCUUUGAAAUCUGAACUCCCAAACUAGAACUGAACAAACUGCUGCAAAAGUUCGGAUGUUAUUUUUUUAACAAAUUCAACAAUGCGUAUAAUACUUACCAACCAUGAUAUCACAGCCAAAGGUUCGUCUUAGAAGUACCAAACACUGAAAUCACAAACGCAAAAUUUUUUUUUUUAAAACAAAGGAAAGAGCAGAAAUUUACAGCCUUGAAAAAGAAAAAUUCAAAAUGAAGAGAAGAAUAGGGUUUCUUACGGAGAAUGUUGUAAUAACAACGAAGAGCUCGAGCAUAGACGAGCCAGUCAAAUUGCUCACAAAUCUGUCCACAUUUUUUUUUUCAAUUAGUCUCAAAUAAUUGGUAAUCAUUUACAAAUUUUUAACCCCAAUUCAAAGAGAAAAUAUAGUGAAGAACGGAGAAAACUACUGUUCUUUGAGCUGCUUGUUGGGGUUGAAGGAUCUGAGAUUGGAAUCCAUUUUUCUGACAAUCGACGAAUCAAAUGCCGUAAGCUUUUUAAUUAGGAUUAUUUGCAAAUUACCCAAUGAAACGAUCUGUUGUUUGGAGAGAAGGUAGGAACCAAGUACUUGUCAUUUGUCCCAUUUCCAAGGCGUGGUUACAGAAUGACGCCUUUAUAUGCAAUCUCAUUUCGAAGCUACCUCGCUGAGCCCGGUCGCGUGGGCUCCUAGAGUCCUAGUCCUAGCCAAGCGGGGCACUCUCAGGACGCGGUGCACGGGAGGGUUUCCCGGGUUCGCCCUCUUAACUCCUCUGCUCCUGCCCCACUGUGGGCUUUUUGCCCGUAUCUAUUGUUUGGAUUGUGAUUUUUCGCAGAAAAAUUGUUACUUUUUUGUAAGUAUAUUUUUUAAUUAUUUUUUAUGUUAUAUAGAUUAAAUUGUUAUAGUAUAUCUUUUCUAUAAAAAUUUUGAAAAAUAACAAUCCGAACCCAAGUUUUUUGGCAAGUUUGUCUGCUAUAAAUUUUUUAAAAACUCUAACUACAGUAAUCUUUAAAAACUUUUCAAAGUUUUUAAACUAAUAUAUAUUUCAAAAUAUUCAAAAAUUUACACUUUGAAUAUUUGGUUCUUACUUUGAAUAACAGAUUUAGAGGUUGUUUGAGUUACACUUUUGGAAGAGUUUUUGAAGAAAAAUUAAAACUUUUUAACAUGUCAUCUAUGUGCAGUAAAAAAAAGUAAAUGAAAAAUAUGUAAAAAAUAAUAUUCAUAAAAAACGUAAAAUUUUUCUCCGAAUAUUAGCUAUCCUUCUUUAGUUACUUAUUUUUUGGAAUUCUUAUUUCAAGCAUUAAUUAUAUGUUAACCUUAUAAUAGUUGGCACAUACUUAAAUUGAAGCACAAAGUGAAAUGUUUGGUAUUUUUGUUAGAAAUAACCUAUUCUUUAAAUACAAUAACACUUAAAUUCUGAAAAUAUAUAAGUACCCUCUGAACUUUGGGAAUUCAAACUUCACCACAUAGCCAAUUUUGUACUAUAAAAGUGUUCAUGUGGAUUGUUAAAGCGUUUAAGAAAUACUAACCAUGAUACCUUUGGGGGCACAUUCGAAGUUGUGGUAGAGUGUAACUAUUCCCAAAACUCAUGGGAGCAAUGUGUGAUUAACCCUUUAGUUUUUCUAAAAUCAAGUAAUUUGAUAAAGAGUCCUUGUACUCUUUCUAAAAUCAAGUAAUGAAAAAUUGUCAAGAUUUUCUUCAGAGAAGAGAUGAAGAAUACCAAUUUCUGUGGCUUGUCAUACUUCUUUAAGAUGUCAUCCAAAAAACAAAAUGCAGGUUCAAAGUUCAAACUCGUUACCAGUUAUCAAUAUGACCGAAGAUCAUAAAUAAAAAUGUCUUCCGAUGGAAAGAACAUGAAGAAUUAUUGGACAACGCUGUCAUAUUUUGUUCUUCACUUAUUCUCCCUAUAUAAAUAUUCAAGAAAUUGCAAUAUUAGCUUUCAAGAAUUUCUAUAGAGCAGAAUUUGCAAUCAACGAUAUAUAUAUAUAUAUAUAUAUAUACUACUCUCUGUAUGAAUCUUUAAGCAUCUCAAUGAUGGACGCGUAUUCGAUAAAACCAAAAUUAAAAAAAAGAAGGGAGGGAGGAAAAGAGAUUAGCUCAAGAGGAGGAGGACAAAAACAAUUCAGUCAAUCUUUGUUGAUGUCUGCACCAGAUAGCCCUGAAACUUCACCAAAACCACCAUUUCUUGUGGUUUCUUGGCUUCUAUAUUCUCCAAAAACAGUGCAACUUCUGCUUGUAUUAUGUCCCUUAAUAAUUUUUUCUUGAACUUGCUCUGGCAAUCUCAAAGUAAACCUAUCCUGAUCUUCUGAUCCUUUAGUCCUAACUAUUGAAUGUCCUGUUGAAUGUGAUCUUGAAAAUCUCUCCAGCUCAGUAUUAUUGUUCCGCCUUUCAACUAGAACGUGAUCAGCAGCCGUAGCAGAAGUCCUCCUUUCGCCGCGAUCGCUGCCUCCUCUUUCAUCUUCAGUUUCAUCCUUUACUGUGAUGGAAACACUUUCAGGCAAUGACUCAUUUUCGUUUAUGAGACGCAUGGUAUUCGUGAAUGAUAUCAUCGAGCCUUCUUCGACAUACGGGACAAGUUUUGUGUUUCUCAAGCCAUAGAUCAAUGCAUUCUUGAUGAAAAACGUGACAACAUGUUGUCAAAAGUCGAAGAAGAUCAUCAUCUCCAAACUCAACUAAACAGAUGGCACAUUCUAGCCCAUAUUUUUCCUUCCUAUAAUCUUUAACACUGGAAUAGGUGAAUGCAGGGAAAGAUUGUAUGAUUUUGGGAUCAAUCCCAGGGUUGUCUUGUGGAUGUGUUGGAACGAUAGGCGUGGCUGCAGGACUAUGACGAAGGUGCCAAGAGAGGAUUAGAUUCUGCAUGAAACAUCUACAAAAGUAUAAUGCGAAAAAUCCCACAAAGAAAAACACAAGAAGAAUGAUUGUUAUGACUAUGGUAAUUGGUGGAGUGCUGUAUGAUUCUGGUGUUGGAACUGAUUGCCGGAGAGAGCCAUCAUUUGACAUUGCCUGAAAAAAAAAAAGAACGAAAAAAGAGGGCAAGGCAAGUUGCAGAAAAGCUUAAUGCUUUUUUUGGGGGGGGGGGGGGGGUGUUGGCCGGAUAUUGACUAUUCCGGCCUUGACGGCCUUUUUUUUUGCUCUGUACGGACGAAAGAAAACCCCAAGAAAAUGAAGUGACUCAAUCACCCGUAAGAGAGAAAGAUCCAAGGAGAUUAGUUUGAUUACACUGUGAAUUUGGUGCGGUAGAUUUUUCAUGUUUGGUGAGUUGCAUGUUUGCUUGAGAAGGAGAGAAUGAAGGAGGGGCAUGCAUUUGUUUCAUUUGCAAAGAACAUCACACAUUUGAGUUUCAAUAUGGUUCAACAACGUGGCAAGUUGGUUUUUCAUCUUUGGUUAGAAUCAGAGGAAUUGAGCGAGUCGUCUGAGGAUGGAUGAUGAGGAGUGUUGUCUUUGCUCUUAGCAUUAUUGUCUUGCAACCACCAAUAGGGACAUAUCUUGAGUUUUUUGUCAAAAUAACACUCUUACUAAAAAAUAUUUCCAAUGUGAUUCACUUUCAAAUUUUAUUACCAUAAUGAUAUUAUUGUUCCCAUCUAGUUAUCCUGAUUGCCAGGUAGGAUAACAAGAAAGGAAAGUUCUAAUCCAAUUUAUAGUUUCCAACAUUAACUAAAAUUUUAAUUUUUUUUAUUAUAGAGGCACAAGAAGAUUGCAUGACUUUUAUAAUUUCCUUAUAAUUAUCUAAAAUAAAUUUUACCAUUAUUGACUUUACUAUUAUUGGUCUCCGAAUUUUUUUAAAUGUAUCAAACCUAUUGCAUAUAUAUUUUUUCAAAAAAUAAUUUUAAAAAUACAAAAAUUGCACCAAAAAUUGCAACGAAAAUUGUAAUCAAUUACAAAAAUUUCAAGGUUAUCAUAUUUGUUUAUGUUAUCCUUCCUACUCUUUGAAAAGACGAAAAUAAUCUUCAUCUACCUUAAGAUUAUCGACUUGCAAAACAUAUUUUUUAGAUGCUGUUAAUAUAAAGAUUGGCUUCUUAGAUUAUGUUUGACAAGGGAAAGAUAACGAAAGAAAAAAAUGUGGGAAGCUUUAUAGAGAAAAUUGAAGAAAAUAUUAGAUAAGAAAGAGAAAUGGAGGACGUCUUUAUCUCUAUCCUGACACAUAUGCAGCCUAAGUAGAAUGGCAGCAUAGAGUUGACUUCAUUGAUUGCUUUCACCAAUGCGAGACAAGAAUUGUAACAUGCUAAAUCAAAAUUAACAGCUUCCCUUUACACGUUGUGAAUCAACCUUUUUUUUCGAGCAACGAUAAUAAUUGUAUAACCUAUUCUAUUCUAGUCUACAGAGAAGGGGAACCUAAAGAGAUUUGUGUUAGUCCUAAAGAGAUUUGUGUUAGAGACUAACAGGUAUACAAAACUGACUAGAUCAAAAGGGUGAUUUGGCACCACCCUUGAAUUUUUUUUCACUGCAGGUGAAAUUUGAACCUCCACCUAUAGCUCAAGGAGGGAUUUAGCCACUGAGCUUGCAUGUUGUGAAUCAACUAGGGAUGGUAUGUUGGAAGGCAUGCUAAAGAGAUGGUUUCCAUACGUGAUAAACUCAAAAAUCACGGAUUCUGAUUGGUUCAUGGUUCUAGCAUUUUGCGCUUUCUUGGGCGGAGGGUGGGGAGAGGCAAGCAGUUUUUGAUUUGUUAUGGAGACAGCAAAGCAGAAAAGCAAAAGGAACACAUUUGACAAACAAGCGUGCUUUCAACUAAAGUUACAGCUACUGCAUGCUAGAAUACAUGCUCAACCAAAAAGCUUAUAAGCUGACCAAAGGAACAAACCAAAACGCAGCUUAUUCAUAACUGAAGCCACAACACAAGAACUUUCAGGAAAAAGCUUGGCUUGCGGUACCCUACAACCAUCACACAAUGGCUCAAGUUCAAGCUUCCAG
Molecule: long non-coding RNA, 64431 nt
Filed under: Coffea arabica (coffee)
Lineage: Eukaryota; Viridiplantae; Streptophyta; Magnoliopsida; Gentianales; Rubiaceae
Description: long non-coding RNA (CARA_LNC005543)
Source: RNAcentral